This 51583-nucleotide long non-coding RNA is filed under the name Capsicum annuum. RNAcentral's name for it is "long non-coding RNA (CANN_LNC006881)". Lineage: Eukaryota; Viridiplantae; Streptophyta; Magnoliopsida; Solanales; Solanaceae. The record is from RNAcentral.
UUUCCUAAUCUAACCAUCAAUACUUUAUCAGUAGGAUCCAAACCAUGGAAUCAAGCAAUCUUCAAUACCAUAUAAGUACACAAAUAUUUCCUUUGAACCUAUCUCAUUUCCUUCCUCAAGAACUCUUCUCAUUAACUAAUGUAAUUUUCCAAUUUUCACCACGCUCAUCACUAUAGAACUAUGCUCUAUCUUUACUCGAGUUAAGCUGAUGGUCUAAAUCGUAAAUGUAUACUUAGUCAAUCUAUAUCUAGAAUUGAUUGCAAAAAAAAUUGUAUUUCAUAAAAUUCUACCACAUAUAUCUAUAAGAAAAUAAAAUACGAUGCUUAAGUAAAAUCAUGACAUAUACUUCUUAGAAAUAAAAUAUCUUCACUUGGAAGCGGUUAAGUGGAAAGUUAUUGAAGUUCAUGUGGCACAAUCUAGGAAAUUGAAUUAUAAUUCUACCCAACUUAAAACAAAUGUGCAAAAACAAUACUGAAAAUAUUUUUAACUCAACAUCAAAACAUAUAAAAAGGAAUCAGAAGUGAGUUCUACUAAUAUUUUCUUAACUGCUUCCUCACUACGGGUGUAUCCAUGGUGGAAAAGGUGAUGUAAACCCCUCUAAAUACUUCUAAGUAUUUCCAAGAAUGAAAUUGGAUAAAAAGUAAAGGCAAAGCUAUUAGAGAAAUUGGCAGAUGACUAACAUGUAAGGACUUGAUUAUGUGAUUUUCUCCUUAUAUAUGUUUUGGCCAUUUUAUCCUUCUCCUUGGUUUCUAUAUCUUAUUUUUGUAGUGUGGAAAUGGUUGUCAUGAUUUUUGAGGCGAUCAAAAACUAUUUGUGUGAGUUUGUGGGUUUUUGUAACACCCCGCAUUUUUUGGGGUUAGAAUUCAAACUGUCAUUCCUACGCGUAUAAACCCGAACCCAAUGAUUCUUUGGAAAUAUAUCUGUGUUUAUCAAUUCUAUAGUAUUGUGAUACCUUUGAAUAUGAAUUAAGGUCACAAAUAUCUCCUAACUCUAAGACGAGUUAGAGAACGUUUCUUUCGAUUAAGUUUUAGUGAACAUUCAGCUUGGGUAAAAUUUAAAUGACCAUUACUCCCUAUAAAUAAUGAAUUAUGUGGCCUACUAUAUACCAAAAUAAAUAUCUUUGAGUCCCCAUUCCAACGCAACUGGUCUCACCUUAAUCCGUUAUCGAAAUAGAAAGUUAUGCUCAUUUUACUUUGAAGUAUCUUUCUGUCAACUAAGUGAGGACUACGCUGAUAAGUCAUCACUUAGGUGAUGAAUAAGCUAAUGCGACGUCAACUAAGUGACAAGACAUCAGCUCUAGUUCUUAGCCUAGGAUAGAAAGGGGAAAUUCUAGCCUGAAAAUGAUGACUUAGGUGAUGAGCCAUCACUUAACUGUUGGGUCGUCGACCUUAGUCGUCAACUGAAGAAUUUCUAUAAUUUUCUUUGGUUUCUUUAGGGGUAUUUUGGUAUUUUUUACACUCCAAAAGCUGCCCCCACGAAUUUAAAUCAUAUCCUAAGCGUUAUAAUCUAUCUUCUAUAUGUUUUUAACAUCUCAAAUCCUCUCCACUCUCAAGAACAAAGAGAAGUUAAGGUUUCCUUCAAGGCAAGAAUUCAAGCCUUUCAAUCCAAGAUUUUGCAAGAAAAGUAUCAAGAUUAGGGUUCUAUUCUUCAACUAAGGAACAUAAGGUAUGUAGGGCUGUCCUAAAAACCCUAUGGGCAUAAGUUAUUGUUUUAUCAAUCUUUUGAAAGAAUGUUAUGAUGUUUAUAACAAGGGUUUAAACAAUUGUUUUGAAUAGCCAAUCAUGAAACCCUUUUCAAUGAUAUAUAUAUUGUUUUGGUCUGGAGGCCUCCCCUUAAAAUUGAUUCUUACUCAUGUAUAUGUAAUUAUGCAUUUUGUCUUUUGCAAAGAUUAAAUCAAAAGCAUGAAUGAUGAAACUCCUCUCAUGUUAUGAUACCUCUUGAUUUCACAUGUUAUGGAUUAUUCAAUUACAUGUUUUGAAGCAUGAGAUAAGUGUUUUACUACUCUUUUGAACUUGAUAUUUAUUAUGAAUUGAAGAGAGGAUAUUUUCUUAUUUAUAAAUGUUCAAGGUGAUGAUGCAAAGAGUUGCAUGGAUUAGUAUAAAGGAAUUGAGCAUUAUAUGUUAAAAUAUUAAAAAGAGAGAAUCUUUGAAUAAGUUUUGCACAUGUUUUGAAAUAAGGACUCCCUUGCAUUGUCUAAAUAUUUUUGGUGGUCAAAUGACUAAGUUGGUUGAAAAAUCUAAAGAGAAAAAUUGUAUGGAUUAGAUAUACGACUUGCAAGUCUUAGUAUGGCGAUACUAAAUAGAUGAAUGCCAUAGCAGAUUCAAAACAGACUAAAAUAUAUAUUUUAUUCAGAUUUUAAAUUUAGAAAGAUACAGUUUAAAAAAGGUUAAAAAUAAGUUUAAAGAGAGUUAGAUGGUUACCCAAAGAAAGUACUAGUUGAAAUACUCAAUGCUAGAAAUUGUGAUUUGCCGACACAAGAUUAUCGUACCCUGCUUUAUGAUCUUGUGUACUUUGAUUCAUGUAAUCCCAAAUUGGGACUAUGGUUAGGAGCCUGCUUUAUAAUCUUAUUCACUACCAUGACAUAUUGAUUUGAUUAGGGAUUUUGGUACCCUACUGUGUGAUCUUGUGUGUCUCUCUUAUAGAUAAUUCAAUCCUUACAACAAACUUGGAUUGGGGCUUAGCAGUCGAGUCAAGGACGGAUUCCAUAUAGCCCAUGGAAUUACAGAUUAUAGGGUAUAUCAUCUAGCUUAGAAGAAUAACAAAGAGUAGAGUCAUGAUUUCAAAAAAAUGUUUUGAAAUUAAUCAAAUUAUUCCCAUGUGUUUUCAAAUAUUUUAAGAUGAUAUGUUUUAUGAAAUACUCUCACCUAUCUUAUAUAAAAAUGUUUUUUGAUUUUGGAUUGUUCUGCGUACUAGUACAUUUGUAUUGACACCUAUAUUUUAGGAUUUGAGGAUUAGUCCCAAGGUCCCGUUAAGCAGUAGAUCAUUGUCAGAAAAUUGAGAGUUGGUGAGCCUCUCUUAUUUUGAAAGGCCUUGUCUCAUGUGAUGAUUUCAUGUUUUUUAGUUCAUGGCCCUACCAGGGGCCUUGUCCCAAUUUUAGACAUAUGUUGCUUUCAGUUAUCAGUAGAGAUUUGUAGACUUGUAUAGAUAGUUUUGAGUUUUGUUAAACUUAUGUCGUCUUGUUAGUUUUUAUAAACAAAUGACCCUAUUUCUAUUUGUUUUGUUUCCACAUUUUAUAGUUUCUAAAUUAUACAUAUGAUUGUCAGUUAGAAGGGUUAUCAGGCCUUCAUUUUUUGGGAUGGUCAUUACAGCCUGGGCCUCUAUUCGGGUCAUGAAAAACUUGGUAUCAGAGCACGGUUCAUAGUCCCAAGGUGUCUGGAAAGUUGUGUCAAGUAGAGUUUUGCUUAUGGGUGUGUUGUGACCACACUUAUAAUAAGAAGGCUACCGGGAAAUUAGGAGUUGCUUCUUAUUAUUUCCUACUCUAUCUCGUCCUAUAGCAUCAUCCAUAUGAAAGUUAUCCAAAUUCCUUUCUUAUUCUAAUUUCAUGAGCCAUGCCUCAUUGUCGAGGCGAUACAAGUCUAAGAGUCUAACUCUCCUAGCGAUAUGGUUCUCUUUGAUUGAGUUAUCCAUAAAGUUACGAGAUAGCACAAUGACUUGAGAGGAGUCCAUUAGUUCUUCAAGGUGUAUUAAUUCGAGUGUAUACCUUUAUCCUGAUGAAAUUAUACUUUUCAGCCUGAGGUACAAAGUAUAUUCAGUCCCCUUUCAAAAUUCUUGUUGUAGAUUUCAUGCAUAAGGGUAAUGAUGUGUAGUAGAAUGUUGGAACUGUAUUCCCACCCAAGUAGUAGUAUAUGUUAAAGUGUCAUGACCUAUUAGUAGUGAGAUGGUCUAGAAGUUGGUAACAUGAAGUCACAAGGUUAGCAGUCAGAGUGAGGGUGGCUUUUACAUAAAUAAGUAGUUUUAGUUGUAUAAUCCUUUGGUUGAGGGGUGGUUUUUCAUUUUUUUGUGGUUAGCUAAUGUUAUAGUAAGAUUUAUAGAUUGUAUGGUAGUUUGUGAAGGAGGUAGUUUGUGAAGGAGGUGUUUGGCUAUGAUUAUUAUUGAUUCAAAUUAGGAAAGGAGCCUAGAGUAGAUAAUUAUGGUGUUUAUAGAAAUCAGGUAUAGGUUGUGAAUGGAAAGGGGUAAAUUAGUUAAUAUGUUAUGGGUAGAGACUCAUUAGUGUUUAUGGAAUUUAGUGAUAGUGAGAAUGUAUGCAUGGGUAAGAAAAAUUAAUGUGAGAAGGUAUAUAGUUGAUUUUGAGGUGUAGUAGUAAUGUCAUAGAGAGGACGUGAUUGUAGGUAGUAGUUAAGUGAAAUUCCCCAACUUGAUGGACUUGUAUAGUAUAUAGAAUUCUUUAUUGGUGGAACUCGAUUUAUCGUAGACUAUAGGCUUGAACUUUAGAUGUGGGUUGUGGUGAAAAGGAUAGCAAAUUAAGAUUAAUGAGGCAUGUUGUGGGACUAAGUAGUAGGAUUAAUAAAAUGUGUGCAAUAGCCUAGAUUGGCAACUUGUGGAAUAAUGAGUGUACAAUUGUGAUGUAUAUGUAUACAUGAGAACAAAAGUAAAAUGAUGAGUCGUGGUUGAAUCAUUAAGUGGAUAAGAGAGUGGGUAUAUAAGAAUAAGUUGAACCCCCAGGUAGCAUGUUGUUAGAUAAGGUUUAUAUUUGUAUAAGUGUCUUGUGUACCUAGUUCACAUUCUUGAAUUUUUUAGUAUAAAAAAGUAUAGGGAUUUAUUGUUUGGUGUUCAUUAGGGUUGAAUUGAGGAAAUAUGGGUAGUCAAUGUAAGCUUUGGGUAUGGUUUUACAAAUUUUUUAAGUUGUAAGUAUGUGAGUAGAGGUCUAAUGCUAGCAUUUUAAGUAGUGGAGAAUGAAUUAUUAUGUGAUAAGGAGUGUGGAUGUGUAUGCUCAUGAGAGUUUGAGUUGUAGGUGAUGGCUACAGAGGCUAGCGAAAGUUAAAAGUAGCAUUCCCGAAAAGCAAUGCCUUCAAAGAAUAACUAUCAAGGAAAGUUUAUCUUUUAUAUGUAUGGUGAUACCCCAUGGUGCUGAGUGUUGUGCUUUUAGAUUUAAUAAGAGGUUAUGUCCUCAAGCCUAGGAUUAUGACAUUGAUCUAAGGGGGAGAUGGUGAAUUAAGGUCAUUCUUGAAUUUUCUCAGUGUGGCAGAUUGUGGGGAAGAGUCAUGAUAAACCUCUUCCUAUCCAAGCAUAUUUCUUCUACUUCAAUUUAAGAGGUAAUUUAACCAAUAUUUUAUGUGUUCAAGUCCUACCUAUGUCUAAGGUAUGAGUUCUCUAUCUGACACAUGUCAUAUUCUGACCUCCAAAAUAAAAUCAAUAAUGUCCUUCAGUGAUCCAAUAUUCUAAAUAUCCAAGCUCUAUGGUAUGUUCCUCAUGAACCAUAAAUUUGUGUCCCAAAUCAUGCUUAGAUCUAAGGAACUAUGUUUUCAUAUGUUACCGAUUCAUCUUAUGUCGGGAUUAGCCAAAGUGAUAAAGUUUUUGCAAACUCAUGACCAUCUCAGCUCUGAAAAAAAGAAAAUAAUAGCUCCAAGUAAAAGUCCUUGUCUAAAUCAUUGACUUCAUGAAUUCUACCAUCAUGUUAUACAACUAUGAUAUAUGCGCUUAUGUUUCUCACUAUGGUCUAUCCUAAGGACUUAUGCUAUGUUGCGUUUAUGUUAGAGCAUCUCUCUACUUAUGAUCCAGACACUUGAUAUAUGAAACACUUCCUAAUAGUAUCAUAUCUUCACCUCAUGUUCCACAUAGAUUAUAUCAACAAAUAUGGGUUAUAAUUAAGUAGUGUUUCUCCUAUUCGUGAUGCUUAUGCUUGGGUCCCUUAAUAACCCUCGGUAUGUUAGUGUGAUGGUGGUUGUUAAAGCGUAGUAGUGUGUUAAGUAGGGGAGUAGAUGUUCUUAAAGGUGAAAAUUUUGAUGUGAUUUCUUGAGCUAAGAUUAUAGGAGAAGGGGGAAGAAGAAGAUGAACUUUCAUUACGUGAAAUAGUUAGGAAGAAGAUAUGUGGUGAAAAAUCUUUGUGAGAAUCAUUGAAGUUGCUGGUUUUAGUGGGGAUAUCUAUAAAAUGGGUGUAGUAGAGAUAGGCUUUAAUGUUGUGAUGGACGGAUACUCAAACCGAUGAGCUAUGUGGUUAGUACUCCUCGAUAUAAUACCUGAGGUUGUUUGAUUCUAGUGAUAAGAUGGAGAGGUAUUCUUAAAGGAAUGUAGAGUAUAGAGUACCAUAGUUUAAGCUAGCACUUUUUUAUUCUAGGUUAGGCUUCAAUGUGAGAGUUCGAUGCAGUUAGACUCAAGCUCUUGCAGUUAUGUAUUUAGUAGGGGGAACUAUAAUAUUGAGAUAUUGAAAUGUGGUAUUCAUAGCUGAAAGAAUAGUUAAAGAGCGUUGCAAAAUUUAAAGGCUUUUUAGAACUAUCAAAUAAGGUAGAGAAUGUUUCUAUUCUAUUUCUAUGUCCAACGAGAAUCUCAGUUCAUGUCUUGCACAAAUCUUAAUUAGGCUGAGGAUUCGUAGGAAAAUUCAUGCCUUACAAUGUUUUGAUCAUGUUUCAUAGAAUAAAUGACUAGAUCAUGUCAAUGUAAGGUUUCAUUAGAGUUUCGUUAGCUCAUGAUUUGUGCUUAUACAAUUUACUUGGUGAUGCCAUAAGGCUCUUCUUGAAUGUUUAUGUAUAUUUCAUUAAGGAAAAUAAAAUUCCUAAUGCGAGAUUACAUCUAUUAUUCCAUACUUCUAUAGCUUCAACAAAAUCAUACCCAUCAUUAGAGGACAAAUGAUUCCAAGUGGGAGAUAAUGUAACACCCCGUAUUUUUUGGGCUAGAUUCAAACCAUUAUUCCUAUGUGUAUAGAACUGACCCCGGUUGUUUAUAUAUGUGUGAUGAUCAAUUUUAUAUUGUGGGGAUACCUUUGAAUAUGAAUUGAGGUCACAAGUAUCUCCUAACUCUAAGACGAGUUGAGAACUUUUCUAUCGAUUAAGUUUUAGUAAAUACUUUAUUUGGGUAAAUUUCAAAGAACAUUAAUCCUUGUAAAUAUUGAUUUACGUGGCCCAAUCUAUAAUAAAAGAAAGAUUCUUGAGUCCUCUUUCCAACACAACUGGUUUCACCUUAAUUCGUUAUCAGAGUAGAAAGUUAUGCUCAUUUUACUUUGAGGUAUCUGUCGGUCAACUAAGUGAUGACUACACUGAUAAGACAUCAAUUAGGUGAUGACUAAAAUGACGAGCCAUCAACUAAGUGACGAGCCAUCAUCUCUAGUCGUUAGCCUAAGACAGUAUGGAGGAAAUUCAAGACUGAAAGUGAUAAGUUGGGUGACAAUCCGUCACCUAACUGAUGAACCGUCAACCUUGGUUGUCAACUGAAGAAUUUUUACUAUUUUCUUUGAUUUAUUUAGGGGUAUUUUGGUCUUUUCUGCACUCCCAAAACCUCCCCCAUGAAUUUAAAUCAUACCCUAAAUGUUAUAAUUCAUUUUCUAUCAGUUUUUAACAUCUCAAAUCCUCUCUACUCCCAAGAACAAGGAAAAAUUAGGGUUUUAUUCAAGGCAAGAAUUCAAGCCUUUCAAUCUAAGAUUUCCAAGAAAAGUGUCAAAAUUACGGUUCAAUUCUUCAACUAAGGAACAUAAGGUACGUAGAGUUUUUCUAAAAAAUCUAUGGGCAUAAGUUAUGGUUUUAUCAAUCUUUACAAAGCAUGUUAUGAUAUUUAUAACAAGGGUAUAGUCAAUCAUGAAACCCUUUUCAAUGAUAUAUAUAUUGUUUUGGUCUUGAGGCCUCCCCUUAAAAUUGUUUUUUACUCGUGUAUAUGUAAGUAUCCUUUUUUUAUUUUGCAAAGAUUAAAUCAAAAGCAUGAAUGAUGAAACCCCUCUCAUGUUAUGAUACCUCUUGAUUUCAUAUGUUAUGGGUUGGUCAAUUGCAUGUUUUGAAGCACGAGAUAAGUGUUUUACUAUUCUUUUGAACUUGAUAUUGAUUAUGAAUUGAAGAGGUUUUUUUUUGUUUAUAAAUACUCAAGGUGGUAAUAGAAACGUUAUAAAGGAAUUGACCAUCAUAUGUUGAAAUAUUGAAAAGGGAAAAUCUUUGAAUAAGUUUUGCACAUGUUUUGAAAUAAGGACUCUUGUAUUUUUUAAAUGUUUUUGGUGGUCAAAUGACCGAGUUGAUUGAAAAAUCUAAAUAAGAACAUUGUAUGGCUUAGACAUACAAGUUACAAGUCUUACGUGGCGAUACCAAACAGAUGAAUGCCACAGCAGAUGCAGAACAGAUUGAAAAAUAGAUUUUACUCAGAUUUUGAAUUCAAAAAAUAUGCUUGUUUAGAGAAGGUUAAAAAUAGGCUUAAAGAGAGUUAGAUGGUUACCCAAAGAAAGUAUAAGUUGAAUGACACAAUGCUAGAAAUCGUGAUUUACCGAUACGGGAUUACGGUACCCUGCUUUAUGAUUUUAUUUACCUUAAUUCAUGUCAUCCCAAAUUGGGACAAUGGUUAGGAAUCCUGCUUUGUGAUCUUAUGCACUAUCAUGACAUAUUGAUUUGAUUGUUGAUUUUAGCACCCUGUUGUGUGAUCUUGCGUGUCCCUAUUAUAGAUAUUCUAAUCCUUGCGGCAAACUUAGAUUGGGGGCUUGGCCACCGAGUCAAGGGAGGAUUCUAUAUAGCCCAUGGAAUUGCAGAUUUUUGGGUGUACCAUCUAGCUCAGAAGAAUAACAAAGUGUAAAGUCAUGAUUUCAAGAAAGUGUUCUAAAAUUUAACAAACUAUUCCAAUGUGUUUUCAAAUAUUUUAAGAUGAUAUGUUUUAUGACAUGCUCUCACCUUUGUUGUAUAAAAAUGUAUUUUAUUUUUGGAUUAUUUUGCGUACCAGUACAUUUGUAUUGACCCCUAUAUUUUAGGAUCUUAGGAUCAGUCCCAGGGUUCUGCUAAUCAUUGUCUAAUGUUGGGAGUUGGUGAGCCUCCCUUAUUUUGAAAGGCCUUCUCUCAUGUGAUGAUUUCAUAGUAUUUAGUUCAUGGUCUUACCAGGGGCCUUUUCCUGAUUUCAGAUAGAUGUUACUUUCAGUUGUCAGUAGAGAUUUUACUGACUUGUAUAGAUGGUUUUGAGUCUUGUUGAUCUCAUGUCGUGUUAUUAGUUGAUAUAAUUAAAUGACAUAUUUUUGUUUUUUUUUAUUUUCUGCAUUUUAUAGUUUCUGAAUUAUGCAUAUGAUUGCCAGUUAGAAGGGCUCUUGCGCAUUCAUGAUUCGGGAGGCUCGUACAGCCAGGGCCUCGAUUUGGGUCAUGACAUUUUUAGAGGGUGAAAAGACCUUGUAGUUGAUUUUUGUCAAUACUUGCUGUUUUGUGUAUCAGAUGGCAAAACAUGCUGCGCCGACAGAUUUGAAACAUCAAUUUUAGGUUGGUUGCAUAGUUAGUUUGAUUUAUUGCUCUUAGAUUUAAUUUUGACUCUUAGUUUGAAAAAUUGUGAAAUUGGAUCUCAAGGGUCAAUUUUGUGAAAACAACAUCUUUUCAAAAAUCUGAUAUCAUCAUUGAGUUCAAAACAUUAAAUUUAGUUAAUAACAUAUUUUAUUUUCCUUCAUGGGAUUCCUAAUGAAUUUCGAAGUGCUGAUCUACAGCUUUGCAAUUUGGCAAAGUUGUUGAUGCAGCUGUAUCUAGUUUGGCCAUUUUACUGGCCAAGGGACCACUAAAAAGGUAGCCGCUUUAGAGGCCAAGGCCCACUUUAGAGGACCCUUCAAGCCCAAGAAACUACCAUUAAAGCAGAGGCUUGACUUCUUUUGUGGUCGUCGCUUUAGUAGUAGGUGACCGCUUUAGUGGCCCACUCUUUUUGGGCUGGACCAUUUAAGCGAUCAACCCAUACUUAAGGCGUUAUUUAACCAUUUUAGUGGUAGUCCUAGGAGGAUAUAAAAAUCCUCCUUCUCGAUUUUUCUUUUUCUUUUUGAGACUUUGAGCUUCGGGUUAUGGGGACUUUGGACUAUUUCUUUAAUUUUAGUUCUUGGGUAAGCUCAAAAUCACUAUUUCAAUUCUUUUACUUUAGUUAUCAUUAUUUAAUCCCCAUUUUAAAUCUAUUUUCACUUGGGUUUUCUCUUAUAGAUUCCUUUAAUCAUGGGAUAAGGUGUUUAUAAAUAAAAAUUCUGAUUUUAAUUUUUAUAUAAAAAAAACAUUUCGGGGGUAUUGUUGUCUUUCUUUUAAUGCAUAGAUUUUAUAUUUAUAUUUUUUAGUUGAUUCCAAGGCCGUUCAAGAGGGAAUAGCUCCGCAUGAAGGAUUUUAGGCUUGGAUUUUAUCAUCACGGGGUAGGUUAUAACUUAACAGUCCUUAGACUAGACUGGAUAAUUAAUAUUAUAUAAAAGCAUGCUAUAUGGGUAUGGGUAAUAAUCACUGAAAUAAUAUUGUAACUGUUGUGCUUAUGUUGGGGGUUAUAUUAUUGUCAUUGAUGGUUUGAGAAGAUAUUUACUGCGUGUGGCCUGUGUAGGAGCCUUAUUGGAUAUUAUUGUCUUUGUGAAUGCAUUUAAUUGCUUUCUUUAUGAUAGAAAUACCUAAGUUGGAGUUAAUGUGAUGUUAAUGAUGUCUUACUUGGAUUUUUCACUCUAAUGAUCCAUUGCUUAUACAAAAUCAUGGUUGGUUGAUAUAUUGAGUGGAUUUUGAGCUUAUGUGUACAUGUAUUAAAUGGAUUUUGAGAUCCUUAUACUGUUUUGGUUGUGAUCACGCAUCCUCAUAUCAUACAUACAUUUAUAAGAUAUUGGUACUAUUAUGGAAACACUAAUAUUGAAAGAAAUGAGGUAUUUUAGCAAGACCCUCUAUUGUAGCCUAUAAGUCGAAGAAGAGAUAUGGAUAUUGAGAUUGGGAUUGAGUAUUAAGAUAUUAUAUGGGUUGUGAACCCUCCAUGGGUCCUUCCUGGAAGUGCUGAGGCUCAGUAGGUGUACACAGAGGUUAUGCGAUAACCUUAGUCACAUCAUAUCAUCAUUAUUGUAUUUCAUAAAUCAUGCACUUUUAGUUUUGUACUUUUAUGCUUAAUUUGAUGCAUAUCGAUUUUAUUUCCUUUAUGUACCUUUUCUCUUGCUUAUGUUCCAUAUUUAGAAUUGUUAAUGGAUACGGUGUGAGCUAUCAUUUGGGAUAUUUUCUUAUUACAGGUGACAUUCUCAUAAUAUAUGUUUAUGUAUCUUAUUUUCUACUUUGCUCAGCUAACUUAUAAUACCGACUGAGUACAAGUGGAUUGUGCUCAUCCCUAUUGUUCCUUUUUGAUGUAUGAAUACACUAAGCGACAACUGAGUUCAUAUGGUGAUGUAUGACACUUAGAGGUAUUGACCGCUCUACGCCUUUAGAGUUGACCUUAGACCUCCUUCCUAUCUAGUAUAUGUCUUAUUUUGUAUUUAGAGUCAGACUUGUAGUUUCUUGGGUUUUUAAUUGUAUUUUCAGUUUUGAGUUAUAUCUAGAUUGUUCUUAACUGUGAAAUAAGGUUUUGCGAUGGUUUAUGGUACUUUUGUUAUUUAGACUCUCUAUUAUUGUACAUGAAUGGUUCAACUUUUCUCUAGAAGUCUUACCUUAGGAUUUAUGUUAUGAUUUUCUAUUACAUAUUAGUUUUGGUGAUUGGUUUUCUGUCAAGGAUUAGCUGUGAUAAGUGCCAUCUAACCUGAGUUUUUGGAUUAUGACAAAUUGAUAUCAGAGCAGCCAGAUUCAUUGGUCUCAUUAAUGUAAGAAUCAGGUAUGUAGUUGUAAUGCCCCGUACUUUUCUAAGCUAGAAAGCGAACCAUUGUUCGUAAAUAUGAAACCACCAAUUCUGUAAGCCAAAUUUGGACACAUGAAUUACCAAGAGUACCCUGGUUAUAAGAGAGCUUAUGAUGUGUUAAAUGUGGUUAUAUGAGUCACUUAAGGUAGUACAAGCUAAGAGUUUCAAAAUCCAGCAAGUUUUAGUGUUUGAAUUUUCAAGGGUCAUUUUUGAAUGAGGAUAAGUUGAUAAAUAUGUGGUAUUUCUGCAUAUUUAUACCCACCAACUUAUAGAGAAUCGAAUUAUCUUUCUAACGAUACCAAUUUCAUCAAAAUCCGUCACUCGAGCAAGGAGUUAUGGCUUUGCAAAGUAGAGUGCGUCAUCUAACCAAUCGCACAUGGCUACUAGAAUAGGUGUACGAUAAGCAAUGCGGCGCAUACCUAAAUGUAUGCGAUAAGCAAUGCGGCGCAUACCUAAAUGUGUGUGAUAAACAAUGCGGCGCAUACUUAAAUAUGUGCGAUAAGCAAUGCGGCGCAUACGUAAAUGUAUGCGAUAAGCAAUGCAGCGCACACUUGAUGUUUCAGGUAGUAAAAACUCUCCGUUUUGAGUUAUUUUGAGGGCAAUUAAGUCUUUUGGCACUCCUUACACACCCCUAAACAUAAACCUUACGAAUUUAAUAGAAUCUAAACACAUCAUAACCCUAUUAUCAAUCUAAGUUCAUCAUCCAAGAGCACUAAAGGAGAAAAAUAACUAGGGUUCAACGAAUCCGUUACCAUAAAGGUAUAUAGGGUUUCCAACAAGAACAUCCUUUCAUUCUUGUGCCCAAAAAUUUGUAUUAUUUUAUGAAGAUACAUGAUUUUUCUUGUUUAAUUAUGAAUUUGAGAUGGAAACAAUUAUUAUCCUAUAUUCUUGUUCAAGAAACUAUGAUGUUUUUGUGAUGUCUUAAAGAUAAAUAUCUUGAGUUUUGAUAUUAAUAUCAUGUUUCAAGUUGAAUUUCCAUAUUUUCAUAUGAAUUGUACUUAUUUUCUAUACAAAGUAUGAAUCUUGAAAUGUUUUGCUCAAGUGUUGAUAUAUGGGACUUAAACCCUCUUUGAGAUUAUGAUCCUUGGUGAAGUAAUGUGUUAUACACACCUUGAUAUGUGAAUAUUUGACCUUUUGGUCUUGAAAGAGUUAUUUUUGAACUUGAAUGAGAAAAGAAAUCCACAGUUGAUUUAUUAUGAAAAAGGGGUAGCAUGUGGCUCCCAAUAUGAAUUGUUGAAUUGUGUUGUUAUGGAUUUGCUUUUGAAAUGAUCUGAGCUAAGUUUGGAAGUAGUCUUUAGCACCGAGUGAGAGGUAUAGCUGUGAUUGGUACUUCCCUAGAAUUAUGUGCCCCAAUAGGAAAUGAGCCUAAGGCUGAUUGAUAUGGUGAUCACUAGUGAAUAAAAGAUUAAGGUCCUACUCCGAUGGCAAGGAUAGGACAGCUCUCCCCAACAUGGGUUAGACGUUGGACUCUAUGUAGCUCACAUGGAUUAUGUUGGUUGUAAGAGACUCCCAGUUUGCGUGUGUAUUCUUCUGAUUGAGAUGAAAAAUGUAAUAGUUUGAAAGUGUGAGUUGAGAAAGUUAUCGUUUUUGAAGAAUUAGAUGAAUAUUUGUAUAUCUUAAAGAGAAUUGUUAUGAAAGAUACUCAUUUUAAUAACUUAAAAAUGAUUAUGAAAGUGAUUGGGAUUUACUAUGAUGACUCACAUGUUUUCACCGAUGUGUUUUACUCUAUGGUGAUUAUGAUGAUUUUAUUUCGAGCUAUGUGAGUCUCUUAUUAUAGCAUGUAUAUUUUCCUAUGAAUAUUUAUGAUAUAGGACUUUUAUGAACACCUGCAGACACCCUUAUAUACUCGGUCCGUAUUCCAUAGUACUGACCCAUGUAUUCGUAUGUGGACUAUAUUUUCCCUAUAAUAUAGGUUCAGGUGCUCAUUCCCAGGCUUGACGUGAUUCUCCGAGAACAUUGUUCUACAUUUUCUGCAGUGGUGAGUCCUCAUGGUUCAAGGAUUGGUUAUUUCAGAUUUCACUCUUUUAUUUUGAGUUAUUAUUUUAUUCCCGGAUGUUAGGGUUAGUUGGGGUCUGUCCCAAUGGCUUAGUGUUAUACAGUUUAGUAGAGGAUUGUUAGACUAGAUGGUUAGAUUGAUCAGUCUUGUGGAGAGGUCAUAUUUUGUUACUUUCUGCAUCUCUUUCAUCUUGAAUUAUGAUAUUAUGGUGAAUAUCUUGAUAUUUGAUUAUAGUAAUCCUAUUGAUGAGUGUUGAAUGGUAUGAAAAUGGCUCAAAGGGUUAGCUUGGGGCUACUUGUAGCCUUAAGCAUUGUGUGACGCUUCGGGACCCAUUUUCAGGGCGUUACAAACUUGGUAUCAGAGCCUAAGGUUAUUGGAGUCCUAGGGAGUCUGGCAAGCCACGUUAAGUAGAGUCUUGAUCAUCGGUGUGUAGCGCGCCACAUCUAUAAGCAAGAGGCUCCGAGAUGUUUUAGGAAAAAAUGUUAUUUCUUUCUUUCAGAAGUCCAUCAUGCUUAUAGUUGUUUCCUUUCAGCUAUUAAUUCGUGCUCUCCUCUUUUAGAAUGGGCCUUCUCGCCGAGCUAGAAUAAAUAACGAUGGUGGACAACCCCAGCCUGCUGACCCACUAAAUGAAAAUGUGUCCCAUGCUGAAUUUUGAGCAGUCUUUCAGGCACUGGCCCAAGCUGUCACUGUGAAUAUUCAAGCUAAUCUAGCCCUGGCUGUACAGUAGCAGGGAGGUGAAUCAGCUGCUGUGAGGAUCCAUGACUUUAUGCGGAUGAAUCAACUAGAAUUUUAUGGGUUCAAGCCAGAUGAGGAUCCACAGUUGUACUUGGAGAAGGUGCAAAAGAUUACACAGGUGAUGCAUGUCCCUGAGGAGCAUAGUGUAGAGUUGGUAGCAUAUCGAUUGAAAGACCUUGCUUAUGAUUAGGUAGUUUCUUGGAGGAAGGGUAAGGUAAGGGUGUUGCCCUUACAUCUUGGCAAAAGUUCCAGGAUACAUUCCUAGAUAAGUUUUUACCUUUAGAGAUGAGAGAGGAGAAGGUAGAGGAGUUCAUGAACUUGAGACAGGGCUCUAUGACUGUUAAAGAGUACUGUCUGAAGUUCAAUCAGUUGGCUAAAUAUGCUCCUUACUUAGUAGUUGAUAAUCGGGCCAGUAUGAGUAAAUUUAUGACAGGAGUGUCUAGCUAUAUUAUUAAGGAGUGCAGGUCUGCUAUGUUAAAUAGUGAGAUAAAUCUUUCUAGGCUGAUGACUCAUGCCCAACAGAUUGAAGCAGAUAAGAUCAAGGAGAGGAUAAAAUGAGAGAGAAUAAGAGAGCUAGGUCUGAGCAGCACGGACAGGGUCAGACUAGAUUACAGGGAGGGAUCAUCCUCAGUUUCAGAAUCGUUCAUCUACACUAGCACCAUCGUCAGCUAGUGCUCCCGUACCUAAGGGUGGGCAGGAGCAAGGUAGUAGGUCAUAUGCAGCCAGGUCCCAGUAGAGUGUUGGCAGUAAGCCAAAUUAUCCUUCGUAUCCUAAGUGUGGUAGGACCCACCCAGGUGAGUGUUGGGGUGAAAAGAAAGGUUGUUUUGGGUGUGGUGACUUGGGUCACAAACUUAGGAAGAGCCCACAUGCCAGGCAAGGGCACGUGAUAAUCGCCCUCAGACUCAGACUGCUAGUGCUCCAAUUCAGGUGACUCACCAGCCCCAGCUCAGGGCGCCUCUUCUAGUACUGCUGGCGGUCAGUGCCAAAAUAGGUUCUAAGCUUUGCCAUCUUGGCAGGAGCAGGAGGACUUUCCCGAUGUUGUUACUGGUAUGCUCCAUAUACUUCAAUUUGAUGUCUAUGGUUUGUUGGACCCUGGGUCCAGUUUUUCAUAUGUUACACCUCUAGUUGCUAUGAAUUUUGAAAUGAAUCCUAAAAAUAUUCCUGAGCCUAUCUUAGUUUCUACCCUAGUGGGUGAUUCGAUUGUUGCCCAGAAAGUGUAUAGAAAGUGUCCUAUUAUAGUCCUUCAUAGAGUCAUGCUGGCUGAUCUGAUUGAGUUAGACAUGGUGGAUUUCGAUGUUAUUCUAGGUAUGGAAUGGAUUCAUUCUUGUUAUGCCUCUAGAUUAUUGUACCCGAGUGGUCAAGUUUCAGUUUCCUGAUGAACUUGUGUUUGAGCGGUCUGGGAGUUCUGUAUCUUCCAAGAGUCAUUUUAUUGUGUGUCCUGAAUGUUGAUGAUCUGAGAUAAAGAAUUAUGGCUGAAGCAAAUGAGGUGUGACUCCAGUCAGUUAGCAUAGUCACUGAGUUUUCUGAUGUCUUUUCGGAAGAUCUCCCAAGGAUACCUCCUGAUAGAGAGAUAGAGUUCGGGAUCGAUCUUCUUCCCGAUACUCAGCCCAUUUCUAUUCCUCCUUACCAUAUGGCACCUGCAGAACUUAAGGAGUUGAAAGAGCAACUCAAAGAUCUGUUAGAUAAGGAUUUCAUAAGGCCCAGUGUUUCUCCUUGGGGUGCUCCUAUUUUAUUUGUGAGAAAGAAAGAUGGUUCCUUGCGUAUGUGUAUUGACUAUCGCCAGUUGAAUAAAGUCACUGUCAAAAAUAAGUAUCCUCUUCCUAGAAUAGAUGAUUUGUUUGUCCAGUUGCAAGGUGCAAGUUACUUCUCAAAGAUAGAACUUCGAUCCGGCUAUCAUCAACUCAAGUUAGGGAGUGUGACACCCCAAAAAUAGCUUUCUGAACUCGCUAUGGUCAUUUUGGGUUUCUUGUUAUGUCCUUCGGGUUAACUAAUGCCCCGGCAGCUUUCAUGGGCCUCAUGAAUCGAGUGUUCAGACCAUAUCUUGACAUGUUUGUUAUCGUAUUUAUAGAUGAUAUACUGGUGUACUCCCGUGGUGAGAAUGAACAUGCAGAUCAUCUCUAAAUUGUCUUGCAAACUCUUAGAAACCAUCAAUUGUUUGCAAAAUUCAACAAGUGUAAGUUUUGGUUGAGGUCAGUUGCUUUUCUGGGUCAUAUCAUUUCUUCCGAGGGUAUUAGAGUUGAUCCCCAAAAGAUAGAAGUUGUUAGAAACUGGCCUAGACCUAUCUCUCCGAUUGACAUUUGAAGUUUCUUGGGUCUAGCUGUCUAUUAUCGCCGUUUUGUUAAAGGUUUCUCCUCUGUAGCAUCUCCUAUGACCCGGUUGACCCAAAAGAAAGUGAAGUUCUUGUGGUUUGAUUCUUGUGAGAAGAGUUUUCAGGAGUUGAAGAUUCGACUCACUUCAGCCCCUGUUUUAACUUUGCUUGAUGGUGUUGAGGGUUUUGUAGUAUAUUGUGAUGCUUUUAGAGUUGGUUUGGGUUGUGUAUUGAUGCAGAAGGGUAAGGUGAUAGCUUAUGCUUCUAGACAGUUGAAACCCCAUGAGAAGAAUUACCCCACCCAUGAUCUUGAGUUAGCUGCUAUUGUGUUUGCUCUAAAAAUCUAGAGAAACUACUUGUAUGGUGUUCACGUUGAUAUUUUCACCGAUCAUAAGAGUUUGCAAUAUGUAUUUACCAAGAGGGAGUUGAACCUUAGGCAGAGAAGGUGGUUAGAGCUGUUAAAAGAUUAUGAUAUGAGUGUGUUGUACCAUCCGGGUAAGGCCAAUGUAGUGGCAGAUGCCCUAAGCAAGGUGUCUAUGGGUAGUGUUUCGCUUAUUGAAGAGUAAAGAGGUGGCUAGUGAUGUGCACCGUUUGGCUAGACUGGGGGUUAGGCUGUUUGACUCUGCUGAAGGUAGUAUAUGGGUGCAGAGUAGUUCUGAAUCCUCCUUAAUUUUGGAAGUAAAGGAGAAGCAAAACUUAGAUGCUAGUUUGGUCAGAUUGAAAGAAUCAGUCAAGGACCAAAAGGUGGAGGUUUUCUCCCAAGGGGGAGAUGGUGUGUUGAGAUUGUAGGAUAGAUUAUGUGUUCUGAAUGUUGAUGAUCUGAGAUAGAGAAUUAUGGUUGAAGAGCAUGGCGUGCGAUAUUCUAUUCAUCCUGGUGCCACCAAGAUGUACCGUGACUUACAAGAAAUCUAUUAGUGGAGUGGCAUGAAGAAGGAUAUAGCAGCAUUUGUGGCUAAGUAUGCCAUGUACUAGCAGGUUAAGGUAGAAUGCCAAAGACCUGGUGGUAUGAUGCAGGAGUAUUCCCACUUAUAAGUGGGAAGAGAUAAACAUGGAUUUUGUGACUAGUUUACCUCCUUCCCGACGCCAUCAUAAUUCCAUUUGGGUUGUUGUGGAUAGAUUAACUAAGUCUGUGCACUUCUUACCUGUGCAUAUUCUUAUACUGCUGAGGACUACACUAGAUUGUACAUCCGGGAAUUAGUCAGAUUGCAUGGAGAGUUCCCUUGUCCAUCAUUUCAGAUAGGGUUACUCAGUUUACUUCAUAGUUUUGGAGAGCUUUUCAGAAGGGUCUUGGUACCCAAGUGCAUUUGAGUUCUUCUUUCCAUCCGCGGGUAGAUGGUCAGGCUGAGAGGACCAUCCAGACCUUAGAGGAUAUGUUGAGAGUGUGUGCUCUUGACUUUAAGGAGAGUUGGGAUGAGCAUUUACCGUUGAUAGAGUUUGCUUACAAUAAUAGUUUUCACUUUAGAAUUGGCAUGGUUCUAUUUGAGGCUUUGUAUGGAAGGAAAUGUAGGUCACCCAUAGGUUGGUUUGAAGUGGGUGAAGCUGUCGUGAGUGGUCUUGAUUCGGUCUUUGAGGCUAUGGAAAAAUUCAAAGUGAUUAGAGAAAGAUUGAAAACUGAACAGACUCGUCAAAAGUCGUAUGCUGAUGUAAGGAGAAGAGACCUUGAAUUUGAAGUUGGUGACUUGGUGUAUUUGAAUAUUUUACCUAUGAAUGGAGUGAAGAGAUUCAGGAAGAAGGGGAAACUUAGUCCCCAUUAUGUUGGCCCCUACAGAGUUCUUAGCCGUAUUGGUAAGGUAGCAUAUGAGGUUGAGUUGCCUUCAGAGUUAUCUUGCGUUCACUCUGUCUUCCAUGUCUCCAUGCUUAGGAAACACGUUGGAGAUUGUGUUGUUGUAGAUCCUUCAGAAAACCCUAAUAUGCAAGAUAGUCUUUCUUUUAAGGAAGUUCCUAUUGAGAUUUUAGAUCACCAAGUCCGAAUACUAAGGAACAAAGAAAUUCUGUUGGUCAAGGUGUUAUGGGAAAACCAAUCUGUUGAAGGUGCAACUACGGAAACUGAGAUGGAUAUGCGAUCUAAGUGUCCGCACUUGUUUUUCGCAAGACCCGAUCAAACCGAAGGUACCAUUCUACUCUAAAUCAUUUCUUUUCUAUGCAGAGUUGCAGUAGUUCAGUAGUUAUUUUAUACUAUUCAGCUGUGAUUUCAUAAGUCAUGAACUCCUUAUUGUUUCCGAAAUGUACAAUCAAGUAGAGGCAAAGUUAGCAAGUUGCUUCAGCUGUGUACCCUUCAUUUUCUCUUUACUCUUAGUAUACCUAGCAUCAUUCGAGGACGAAUGUCCCCAAGGGGGAGAUAUUAUAAUGCCCGUACUUUCCUAAGCUAGAAAGCGAACCAUUGUUCGUACAUAUGAAAUCCCCAAUUCUGUAAGCCAUUUUUGGGCACAUGAAUUACCAAGAGUACCCUAGUUAUAAGAGAGCUUAUGAUGUGUUAAGUGUGGUUAUAUGAUUCACUUAAGGUAGUACAAUCUAAGACUUUCGAAAUCCAUCAAGUUUUAGUGUUUGAAUUCGCAAGGGUCAUCUUUGAAUGAGCAUAACUUGAUAAAAAUAUGGUAUUUCUGCAUAUUUCUACCCACCAACAUAUAGAGAAUCAAAUUAGCUUUCGAACGAUAUCAAUUUCAUCAAAAUCCGACACUCGAGCUAGGAGUUAUGGCUUUACGAAGUAGAGUGCGUUGCCUAACCAAUCGCACAUGGCUACUAGAAUAGGUGUGCGUUAAGCAAUGCAGCACAUACCUAAAUGUGUACGAUAAGCAAUGCGACGCAUACCUAAAUGUGUGCGAUAAGCAAUGCGGCGCAUACUUAAAUGUGUGCGAUAAGCAAUGCGGCGCAUACGUAAAUGUAUGUGAUAAGCAAUGCGGUGCACACUUGGUAUUUCAGGUAGUAAAAAACACUCUAUUUUGAGUUAUUUUGAGGGCAAUUAAGUCUUUUGGCACUCCUUACACACCCCUAAACUUAACCUUAUGAAUUUAAUAGAAUCUAAACACAUCAUAACCCUAUUAUCAAUCUAAGUUCAUCAAGAACAAAAUCUCAGUUUACUUCUCAAGAAUCAAGAAGUUAAGCUUUGAAUUCAAAGUUCUCUACAAGGAUUCUUUCAAUAAAGCUUAAAGGUCCAAUCUUUCAACAAAUCCAUUACCAUAAAGGUAUGUGGAGUUUUCAACAAGAACAUCCUUUCGUUCUUGUGCCCAAAAAUUUGUAUUAUUUUACGAAGAUACAUGAUUUUACUUGUUUAAUUAUGAAUUUGAGAUGGAACAAUUAUCUUAUAUUCUUGUUCAAGAAACUAUAAUAUUUUUGUGAUGUCUUAAAGAUAAAUUCCUUGAGUUUUGAUGUUAAUAUUAUGUUUCAAGUUGAAUUUCCAGAUUUUCAUAUGAAUUAUACUUGUUUGCUAUACAAAGUAUGAAUCUUGAAUAUUUUGCUCAAGUGUUGAUAUAUGGGAUUUAAACCCUCUUUGAGAUUAUGAUCCUUAGUGAAGUAAUGUGUUAUACACACUUUGAUAUUUGAAUGAUUCGACCUUUUGGUCUUGAAGAGUUAUUUUUGAACUUGAAAGAGAAAAGAAAUCCACAUAUUGAUUUAUUAUGUAAAAGGGGUAGCAUGAUGGCUCCCGAUAUGAAUUGUUGAAUUGCGUUGUUGUGGAUUUUCUUUUGAAGUGAUCUGAGCUAAGUUCGAGAGUAGUCUUUAGCAAUGAGUAAGAGGUAUAGCUGUGAUUGGUACUUCCCUAGAACUACGUGCCCCCGUAGGAUGUGAGCCUAAGGCUGAUUGAUAUAGUGAUCACUAGUGAACAAAAGAUUAAGGUCCUAAUCUGAUGGUAAGGAUAGGACAGCUCUCCCUAAUGUGGAUUGGAUAUUGGACUCCAUUUAGCUCACAUGGAUUAUGUCGGUUGUAAGAGACUCCCAGUGUGUGUGUGUAUUCUUCUGAUUGAGAUAAAAAAUAUAAUAGUUUGAAAGUCUGAGUUGAGAAAAUUAUCAUUUUUGAAGAAUUUGAUGAAUAUUUCUAUAUCUUAAAGAGAAUUGUUAUGAAAGCUACUCGCUUUGAUGACUUGAAAAUGAUUAUGAAAGUGAUUGGGAUUUACUAUGAUGACUCACAUGUUUUCACCGAUGUGUUUUACUCUAUGGUGAUUAUGAUGAUUUUAUUUCGAGCUAUGUGAGUCUAUUACCAUAGCAUGCAUAUUUUUCCUAUGAAUAUUUGUGAUAUAGGACUUCUUGAACACUUAGAUACACCCUCAUAUACUCGGUCCAUAUUCUAUGGUACUGACCCAUGUAUUCGUACGUGGGCGACAUUUUCCCUAUAAUGUAGGUUCAGGUGCUCACUCCCAGGCUUGACGUGAUUCUCCGAGCACAUUAGUCUAUAUUUUCUGCAGUGGUGAGUCGUCUUGGUUCGAGGACAGGUUAUUUCAGAUUUCACUCUUUUAUUUUGAGUUAUCAUUUUAUUCCCUAAUGUUAGGGUCAGUUGGGGUCUAUCCCAAUAGCUCAAUGUUAUACAGUUUAGUAGAGGCUUAUCAGACUAGAUGGUUAGAUUGAUCAGUCUUGUGGAGAGGUCGUAUUUUGUUACUUUCCACAUCUCUUUCAUCUUGAAUUAUGAUAUUAUGGAGAAUAUCUUGAUAUUUGAUUAUAGUAAUCUUGUCAAUGAGUGUUGAAUGGUAUGAAAAUGGCUCAAAGGGUUAUCUUGGGCCUACUUAUAGCCUUAAGCACCGUAUUAUGCUUCGGGACCCAUUUUUAAGGCGUUACAGUGGUAGAGUCUCACAGAUUGGUACUUAGAUGGCCCUAUCUAUCUUUUAGAGGCUAUAAGAUAUCUUUAGAAAACUUUACUUAGAUGGAUCUAUCUAUCUUUUAGAGGCUAUAAGAUAUCUUUAGAAAACUUUCUUAUUUUUUCCUUAUUAUGCGUGUUUUUCCAUAACCACAUUCUAAACUAUGUUCACUCUUUUCUACGUAGAUGGUGAAAACUAGAUCCCAUAAGUCUAAGGAUACUGAGAUAACAUUUAAAGAGAAAGCCCAAUCUAGGAGAUGAGUCAGGGUUCGUGGAUGGUCUUAAGGUUGAGGAAAGGCAUGUGGAUCUACUCCUGCCAGAGGUUAUACUAGGGGGUUCUCCUCUAAGCCCGAGGUUGAGCAUGCUAGAGAUAUGGGGCCUACUCAGGUUCCAUAGAGUACUACUACCUCAAUCUUGAAGUUUUUAUUGAUUAGUUUGAUAAAUCAUCUAGAGAGUGUUCCUUUAAGUGCACCUGGUAUUUCUCCUACUUCAAGUGUUAUACCUCUAUCUAUAUAGAGACUACUUAUGGUGUUCUUUCAGUCCUGAGUGUGGUUCCUUUACUAGUAUCCAAGUAUGGUAUUUCGAGUUUAGGGGUUUAGCCUUUAUCUAUGUUACCUCCUAGGUAGAAACACAACCUGCUAGGUUACUAUAUCUUCUUUUGAGAACCAGAAGAGGUUUGACAGAUUUACUCACUUGGGUCUACCCAGGUUUAGUGGUAUUGUGGGAGAGGAUGCUUAUGAGUCUUUGAUUGAUUCUCGGGAGAAGUUGUAUAACCUUGGAUUGCUUAGGUUAUAUGAAAUUGCUUGAACUACCUACCAACUCAGAGAUAUAGCCUGAGAUUGGAGAAGGUAAUUUGUUAGUUGAAGACCUCUUGGUUCGCCAGAGAUAACUUGUGAUCAGUUUGCUGAGGUCCUUUUAGAUAGGUUUGUGCCAUACAAUUUGAGGGAUCAAAUAAAAGAGAAGUUUGAUCACUUGGAGCAGUGCUUCAUGACUGUCACCAAGUAUGAGGCAUAUUUCUAUGCCUUGUCCAAAUAUUAUAUUACUAGUAUUGCCACUGAGUCAGAAAAGAUUCAAAAGUUCAUGAAAGGAUUCAAUAAUACUUUUCAGGUUGCUACUGCCUAAAUGGUGGUGUCAAGACAUGUCAUUUCACAGUGUGGUGGAUCAUGCAAAGAUGAUUGAGGCUAUUCUUAAAUAUCCACAUGGAGACAUCAAGAAGGUGCAUUUCCAAGGUGAGUUCAGUGUUCACACCCCACAAGGCAGAGAUUUUAAAGGUUCUUAUAGGUACCAUGGUAAACCAGUGAAGGCGGCUCUACUGGGUUUAGAUAGUAGGUCUUUUGGUUCAGCAACUUUGGGUAGUCGGGCAUUGUCCCAAGGUGGUUAUUUUAGCUCAGUCGUACCUCUUCAAAUUGAGUCGAGCCACAGAAGUUGCUAUGAAUGUAAUGAGUUGACCAUGUUGCCAAGGUUUGGCUUCUUCAUGUUUUCAGGCCUACUCCUAUCGAUAGUUAGGGGUGACACUCAGAGUUGUAGAGGUGCUACUAGGGGUGUGCAAGGCAGAGGUAGUGGUGGUCGAGGGACUAUUCAUUCUUAUACUAGAUUAGACAGUAUAUGCUAUACCCGCCAGACUUGAGGCAGAGCUUUCUGUAAUCAUAGGUAUCGUCCCUAUUUGUUUUAAAUCUGCAUCUAUGUUACUUAAUUUAAGGUAGACUUUCUCCUAUGCAUCUGGAUAUUUUGCUUUAGGUUUUGAUUUCAUGUGUGAUACCAAAUUAUGUAUCUACCCUUGUAGGAGACGUUAGUGGUGGAUUGGGUGCACCGAUCUUAUGUUGUGACCUUCAGAGGCCGUGGCACUUAGGUAGAUAUGAUCAUCCUAGAUAUAAUAGAUUUUGAUAUCAUUUUGGGUAUGGAUUGGUUAGCUCUGUAUUAUGCCAUUCUAGACUGUUAUGUUAAGAUCGUGACUUUAGCUUCAUCAGAUGUGACAAGGAUAGCUUGGAAGGGUAUGCUUCAUUCGGGUUCCAAAAGAGUUAUAUCCUUCCUUUGGGCUCUUUGAUUGGUAGAAAGGGGGUGUUUGUCCUAUUUGGCCCAAAUUCCUGACACUAGUGUUGUUUCACUGCCUCCUUUAGAUUCUAUCUGUAUUGUUCAUGAGUUUGUGGAUGUCUUUCUGAUGGAUUUGCCUAGUAUGCCACCGAAUCGUGAUAUUGACUUUGUUAAUGAUUUCAAGAUAGGCACUAAGCUUAUUUUUAUUCCUUCGUAUAGGAUGGCUCCAGUGGUGUUGGAGAAACUGAAGGACUAGUUGCACGAAUUAUUGGAUAAGGAAUUUAUAUGACUUAGUGUAUCACCUUGGGGUGCACCAAUCUUGUUUGUAAAGAAUAAGGAUGGGUCAAUGCGUAUGUGUAUUAAUUAUCGAUAGUUGAACAAGGUGAUGGUUAAGAAUAAAUAUCCUCUUCCUCGUAUUGAUGAUUUUUUUGAUCGACUUUAGGAUACUUUAGUAUUUUUAAAGACUAAUUUAAGGUCCAAGUAUUACUAGUUGAGGAUUAGCACUUUAAAUAUUUCUAAUAUAGCCUUCUAGACUUGAUACAGUUAUUAUAAGUUCUUGGUCACGUCUUUUGGGUUGACCAAUGCUCCAUUCGCAUUUAUAGAGUUGAUGAACUGGUGUUUUGACUAUAUUUUGACUCUUUUAUCAUUGUAUUUAUAGAUGAUAUCUUAGUUUACUCUAAGAAUGAGGCCGACCAUGAGGAUCAUUUGCAGAUUGUACUUUAGAUAUUGAGAGAUGAGAAGUUAUAUGCUAAGUUCUCCAAGUGUGAGUUUUUGUUGGAGUCUGUCUCUUUCUUGGGUCAUGUGUGACCAAGGAUGGUUUUAUGGUCAAUGCGGCCAAGAUUGUAGUGGUUCUUGAUUGGGCUAGGCCUACUUCUCCUUUUGAGAUUUAUAGUUUUGUUGUCAUAGCAGGCUACUAUCAAUGCUUAGUUGAGGGUUUUUUGAUCUAUUAUGGCUCCUUCGACCAAGUUGACUUAGAAAAAGAUUUUGUUUUAGUGGUUGCAUGAUUAUGAGGCAAGCUUUCAAAAUCUUAAGGAUUUAUUGACAUUAGCUCUUAUCUUGACUUUUCCCAAGAAGGGCGUGGGUUUUACCAUCUUCUAUGAUACUUAUGGUAUUGGGUUAGGUGUUGUGUUGAUGUACGAAAGUAAAGUGAUUAUGUAUUCUUCUUAUCAGUUGAAGCCUUACGAGAAAAAUUACCCUACACAUGAUUUGGAGUUGUGUACGAUGGUAUUUUCUUUGAAGUUAAGGAGACAAUAUUUGUGUGGAGUCCAUUGUGAGAUUUUCUAGGAUCACCGUAGCCUUCAAUAUUUCUUCACCCAGCAAGAUCUUAAUAUUAGGUAGCAUUGUUGGCUUUAAUUUCUUAAGGAAUAUUAUCUUACUAUUCUCUAUCAUCCAAGAAAGGCUAAUGUGGUUGUGGAUGCCUUGAGCAGGAAGUCGACUAGUACGGGUAGCUUGAAACAUCUUUUGACCUAGGAGAGGCCUUUGGUAUUAGAGGUUUAGUCUUUGGCUAAACGGAUGGUUAGGCUUAAUAUUUUGAUACCUGAGUGUGUUUGGAAUUUGUGGAGCCUAGGUCUUAUUUAAUGAAGUAAACUAGAGCUCAUUAAUAUGAUGAUGUUGGUUUAAAAGUGAUCUGGGAUAAGAAGUUGAAUGGUGAGUUUGUGUGUUGAGAGUAGGUGAUUGGGUAUGAUUGAUCUUGGAAGAGGAUCAUUGUUCUAGGUACUCCAUUCAUGAAGGAGUGACCAAGAUGUAUCAUGAUUUGAUACAAUACUACUAGUGGGGUAGUAUGAGGAAGGAUGUGGCAGGCUUCAUAGAUCAUUGCCUAUGUUAUCAACUGGUUAAGUCUAAGUAAUUGAGGCUUGAUGGUUUGCUUUAGAGAUUACCCAUUUUUGAGUGGAAGUGGGAAUGGAUCACUACAAACUUUGUGACUGGGUUACUUCAUACCUCUUAUGGUUCUAACAGUGUUUGGGUUAUGUGGAUAGAUUGAUUAAAUCUGCUCAUUUCAUCCCAAUUCAGGUUUCUUUUAGAGCUGAAAGGUUGGUUUGUAUCUAUGUUCGUUAGAUUUAAUCUACAUGGUGUACCAAUGUCUAUUAUCUUAGAUAAAGGUUCAGUUUUCACUUCUCUCUUCUAAAAGGCUUUUUAGGAGGAGAUGUGUAGACGGGUUCAUCUUAGCAUAACUUUUUACCCCCAUACCAAUGGUCAGUCAGAGUGGACUAUUAAGGUUUUGGGGAAUAUGCUCCACACUUUUAUUAUGAACUUCGGAGGUCAGUGGGUGAAACAUUGAGCCUUGAUGGAGUUUGCAUAUAAUAAUAGCUACCAUUUGACUAUUGAGAUGAAAGCUUUUGAGGCUUUGUAUGGUAGGCAUUGUGGCUUUCGUAUUAGUUGGUUUGAGGUUUUUGAGGUUAGACCUCGAGGUACGGACUUAUUUUAUGAGUCUGGAUAGAGUUUGAGUCAUUUAGGAUAGACUUCGAGUGGCACAGAGUAGGCAAAAAUAUUAUGUAGAUCAUAGACUUUGUGCCUUGAGCUUUAGUAUUGGUGAUUGAGUGUUCCUUCGUGUGUUUCCCAUAAAGUGUAUGAUAAGUUUUGGGAGGAGGGGCAAGCGCUGCCCUUGGUAUAUUGGGUCAUUUGAGAUCCUUCGAACUAUUGGGGAUUGUCACUACCCAAUUUAUAAGUCAUGAUGGAACAUACUAAAUUUCGCCAGUAGGUAUGCCAAACCAUAACCCAAUGCUAACGCAAUGGGUUAAUUCGGUAGGAAAUGCCCAUCAUAGGCAAAAUUCAAGAACACAAUUUAUAAAUAAGAAAAAUGUUUAAAUAGAUAAAACAGUCAAUACAAGAUACCAUCGCAUGACCAGUAGAGCCGGUAUAAGAGCAUCAAAUGAACAUAAGUCAACUUUAAAUGUUUUAGAAUAGUCAACAACAUCUGUCUCAAGACAAAAGACUAAAUAUAAAGAUAGAGGGAAAUAGGUGAGUCGAACUCCAAGAGCUCACCCUAUCUCCGAAAAUCAAUCACUAAAUGAACGUCGAUCAACGGCUGCAACUAGUACUCAGAUCUGCACCACAAAUGUACAAAAAUGUAGUAUUUGUAACAAAAUAAUGGGUACUCAGUUGGCAUCAUCAAUUGACUGAGCUAAAUCAUGGCAUAAGUAUGAUAAAAUGCAAGAUAACAUAGCAAGUCUAGUACAAAAAUAAACCUGAAUCAUCUCCAACAUCACUAUACAUAAUAAGUAAAUAAACUGGAAAUAUAAUAUAACAAAAGACAUUAACACAUUCCAAUAUCACUGUGCAUAGUAAGUAAACAAUGCGGAAUAAUAACUUAUCACAAAGCAUCACCAUGAACAAACAUAACUACAAAAUUGGCUCCAAUACGCCAAUUGGUGUGGAAUAGUAAAUAACUUAUACAGACUCCCAUACGCCUUGAGAGUACACUCAAGGAAAGAAGAGAGCAAUAAACCAUUCAUUAUAACUAACCUUCAUCGUCAUUUAACCAUCAUUCCAUAAUUAUCAUCAAUAUGCCAUUUACCAACAUUAUCACAAUUUACCAACAUUUCAUAAUACUACCAUUAUUUAGCAACCUUAUCAUAGUUACUCACUUUCAACCAUUUAUUAUCUACCAUCUCUUAUUAACUAAUUCACUUGAUUACUAGUCAUCAUUUAACAACUAUUCACCACAUAUCCGCUAAUCACAAUUUAUUAACUAGCAUCAUUUAUUAACUAGUCAUCAUUUACCAACUAAUCCUCGUUAUUCAACUAGUCAUUAUUAGUAACAUAAACAAUACACACCACCAAUUCUCAUUUAUCACUAAUUAUAAACUAUACCACUUCAUAAACACUUAUCACAUUCGGGCCAUAACCAGCAUCCCUAAUAUAAACAUCAUACCGAACUACAUAUAAACAUAUACAAUUAUAUAAUAUCCAUACAUAGGGUAUAUCCAAACUCAAAUCGAUACAUAUACACAUAGGUACAUUAAUAGAAUCAUCCUCCAGCCUUGUCGGGCAUCAAUAUAUUAUCAUAAUCAUCCUCCGACCUUAUCGGGUAUCUAUAUCAUCAUGAUAUCCUCUGGCGUUGCCGAAUAUCAAUAUAUAUCAUCAUAAUGUACUUUGAUCUUGUUGAGUAUCAAUAUAUCAUCAUAAUAAUUCUUCAGAUGCAAAGGGUAUGAAUAUCAUCAUAAUAUCCUCCGACCUUGCCGGGUAUCAAUAUAUAUCAUCAUAAUGUCCUCCGGCCUUGCCGGGUAUCAAUAUAUCAUCAUAAUUAUUCUCUGGCCUUGCCAAGUGUCAAUAUCAUCAUUAUAUCCUCCGUCCUUGACGGGUAUCAAUACAUCAUUAUACUCAUCCUCCAGCCUUGCUGGGUAUCCAUAUCAUUAUAAUAUCUUUUGGUCCUACCGGAUAUCAAUAUAUAUCAUCAUGAUCUUUUAGAAUUCAACCGGGUAUAUAAUCAAUGCCAUAAGUGACAGUAUAGUCAAGCAUCAAGAUUUCUAGCAUAAUUAAUAGAUUUAUUUUCCAUAUAGUCAAUAAUCAUAUCUUCUAGCAAAAAUAAUGCAUAAUUACUAACGUCAUCAAUAAGGAUUCUUUAUAACAUGAUUAUUAGCAUAAUUGUUUAGCAUGAUCGUAAUCAUAAGGAAUAUCAUGAGCCAUAACUAAUCAAUAGUAUAUUAAAUGGAUUAUCAUUAGCAUAAAAGGUAGCUUAUCAAUAGCUUGAGCAAUAGAUAAUUCAUGGCAUAAUCUAUAGCUUAUUCAUAACGUAGACAACAAUCUAAUUUAUGGCUUAAACAUCAUAGUCAAUGGCUCAUUCAAUGGUACAUUCGGUAGUCCAAUCAAUAGCCAAAACAAUAGUAUAAUCAAUAACUUGUCAUAAGUUUAACUAAUAAAUCAAAAAUAUGGCAUAAUUAUUUAGGUGUUACUUCCAAUUUCAUUCAUCAUAACAAACAAGUACCCAGGAUUCUUAAUAUUGCCUCAAAGGGCAUUUUCUAGGCAUUCAACAAACGUAUAAGGGUUUCAAUAGAACUAAUCAUAAAUCUUAACUUAAGGUGGGUCAAAGAGCCCACUUCUAAAUCCCAAAUUACAUUCUAAGACAAAUACUACUUCGGACUAGGCUAAGGUAUCUAAAUCCUCUCUAAGAUGUAUGGCAAGCCACAAUUAGCCCUAAGGCAUAAGUUCUUCUUAAACAUAAAAACUAAGUCAAUUAGUAACUAAGGAAACUUUCCUUAAUUAAGGAACUAAGUUCAAUCUUAUCCUAGGCAUGGGUAUCUAAGGUAUUUUACUUAACCUCAAGCAAUCUAAGGAAUUCUCAUACUAAACAUGAGUAAUGAAGUCCAAUUUUCCUAAGGGAUAAGAAAAUACGCUAAGUAUUUUAACUCUACGGUUUUAAUUUAGCCUAAGCGAUCUAACUAACCCUAGUCUUGUAUUUCAUCAAUCCAACACCUAUACCCAUCCAAAACAUAACAUAAUAUCAUAAGAAUACUAUGACAUAACUCAAUCUAACAAGGGAUAAACCUAUCCUACCUCGAUGCCGAAAAAAGCUCAAUGAACUGCUAAAGUAUUGGUUUUACCUUUCGACAAGCCUACUCAUGAUGCCAACUAUAAAAAACAUAUUAUUCUCAUCAAUAUGAGAAUAUUGAUACCCAUAUUGUAUUAUUGUGCUUUAGGUCUAAAAGUCACUUCAAAAACCCUUGUGGGUCCCACUUAUGGAAAUCAUGUUUCCAAAACCAACCCAACAUUCAUACAAGCUCUAGAAAUAAUUAAACUAAAAAUUGGGUGAAAACCAAAAUAAAUUGGGGGUAAAAUCGAGCCAUUAGGUUUUGGGGGAUUUUGAGAAAGAAAUCAAGAAAUUUUACCAAUAAAAGGGUGAAUUCCUACCUUAAAUUGAAUGAUAAUUGCGAAGAUAAAUAUUAAUCUAGCUUCCCAAGCUCCCACAAGCUUCAAUCCUACUCAAUCUUUCUAUUUAGGGUUUAUGCUCUAAAGAGAGGAGUGAGAAAUAGCAAAACUCGCAGACUAAGGAGCCCUACCCAAUCCAGGUACUCUAGAGUCGCUUUUGCAACCCCGAGUCUUGCAAUUGCGGUACCUCUCUUCUGUCACGCUAGUCGCGAUUGCCACACACCCUACAAGAUUGCAAAUCUCCUUUGCAUGGCGAGUCACGAUUCCAAAGUACUGGUUUCACGGUGCCCUAGAAAACCUGGUGCACCAGAUUUUUCAAGUCCAAAAUGUACUUCAAUCGGGUGCUCGAGAUUCGUUCAGAAUCCCAUAUAUGUAAAUAAACUAUGUACCGAUACCCAAUUCAACGAUUCGAAUGCAAUGGUGCACUUGGAUUUUUUAUUUGGGGUUGUUUUGACCAAAUGUGGAUCCCAUACUUAUAUUUCUAAUUUCUCAAAUUUUCGACCAAUAGGUCGAAAAGUACUCAGGUGCCUUGGGACUUGAACCAAAGGUCUACCUAUCCUAGAAUUGAUAUUUUAGAGCUAUUGGCAUAGUCAUAAUUUUCAUAUGAGAUCGUUUUACUGAAGUUCUUGCUUGGUGCCCAUUUGGAACCAGCAAAGACUUCAAAAUAGGGAAUUGGCUCUAAAAAUUAAAUGAACUAUCCAAUAAUUGAACUGUCACUCCCAGUAAGUCAUAAAUGACUUAGAGCAGCUAUAGUAAAGCUCUAAUAGCGAAAAUGAGUGGAAAUAUAAAAAAUGACCUGAAGGGUCAUUACAAUAUCCACUACUAAAGGAACUUUCGUCCAUGAAAAUCAAAGAUUAGGAUAUACCUAAAGUCUCAAACAGGUAAAGAUAAUGGGUCCGCAUCUCUCUCUCGACCUCUUAAGUGGCCUUCUCCACUAGGCCAUGCCUCUAUUGAACCUUAGCUACAAGAAUCAUCCUAGUGCGCAAUAGCCUGACAUUACUUGCCAAAAUAAGCACCGGUUUCUCUACAAUAGUCAAACACUCAUCCAAUUAGACUGAGUCCCAUCUAAUCACGUGAGAUGGAUCAGGAAUAUAUUUCCACAGUAUAAAGCCCUAACUAGAUAAACAAUAAGAAAAUCUAGAGGUAAAGAUAACUCACAGACUACCCCACUAACUGCGCAAAGAAUUUCAAAAGGUCCAAUAUAUCUUGGAAUGAUCUUGCCCUAUCUCCCAAACUCAUCAAACCCUUCAUGGGCGAUAUGCAGAGGAAUACACGAUCACCAACUCCAAAUCUCAAGGCAUGAAGCCUAUGGUCUGAAUAGGCUUUCUGCCUACUCUGGGCCACUCUUAACCUAUCCUGAAUCACCCUGGCUUUAUCCAACAAGUCCUGAAGCAAAUCCUUACUACAGGGCUUAACCUCGGAAGUCUCUAACUAUUCUAUCAGAGAAGGAAAUUUCCUACCAUACAAAGCCUUAAAAUACACCAUCUUAAUACUCAAAUGAUAACUGUUAUUAUAUGCAAACUAUUCCAAGGCUAAGUGUUGCUCCCAGUGACCUUCAAAAUCCCAAAAAUAGGAUAGAGCAUAUCCUCAAGAACCUGAAUAGUCUGCUCCGACUGACCAUCUAUCUGUGGAUGAAAAGUUGUACUAAGUUCCACCUGAGUACCGAACUUCUCCUGAAAUGCUCUCUAAACUCUCAAAGUGAACACAGAGCCAUAAUCUGAAAUAAUAGAGAUGGGCACACCGUGUAAACAGACUAUCUCUUGAACAUAGAUAUAGGCUAACCUCUCAGCACUGAAGGACAUCUGAAUAGGAAUGAAAUAUGUUGACUUGGUCAAAUGAUCUACAAUGACCCAAAUCCCAUCAAAACCACAGAAAGUGUGAGGAAAACCACUAACAAAAUCCAUGGUAAUCUGCUCCCAUUUCCACUCGAGAAUGGGCAAUCUCUGAGUCAAACCACCUCGACCUUUACCUAUUGACAACAUAGGCAAUGAGCUAUAAUGUCUUCCAUAUCUCUCUUCAUACCACUCCACCAAUAAUAUUCUCUGAAAUCUCUAUACAUCUGGGUUGGUCGGAAUGAAUGGAAUAUCUAGAGCAUUGAGCCUCAUGCAAAAUCAACUGCAUCAAAUUGUUGGAACAUAAAUAUGGACUUAAAAUUACAAAAGACCCUCAAAAUCUGUAAUGCCCCAGAAAAUGGGUCCCAGAGCGUCACACGGUGCUUGAGGCUAUGAGUAGCCCUAAGCUAAAACUUUGAGCCAUUUUCAUUCAGUUCAACACAAAUCAAUGGGGUUUCCAUAAAUAACCCUCAAAUAUCAACAGAGUAAUCAUCAUCCAAGAAUAGAAGAAUUUCAGAAAAAUAACAAAAUACAACUUAUUAGUCAACUCCCAACAUCUAUACUAGUCUGACAAGCCUCUAAGAAAAUCAAUAAAACCAGCGACCCAUUGAGACAUGCCCCAACUAACUCAUACUCAGUUAUCAAAUGUAAAUAAUUUUGUGAAACCAACAUCAGCAGUUAUCAAAUGUAAACAAUUCUGUGAAACCAACAUCAGACAUCACGUCCUCGGAACAUGAGGACUUACCACAAUAGAGGAUGUAGAACACCGUGCCCGAAGAAUCACUGUCGAACCUAGAACUGAGCACCUGAACCUACAUUCCGAGAAAAUACAGCCCACAUCCGAAGAUGUGGGUCAGUACCAUGAAAAGGAACCGAGUAUAUGGGGGUGUAUGCAGUUGUAUAAACAUCAUCAUCAUAAAUAUUUAUAAGAAAUAUGCAGGGGGUAUAAAAGACUUACAUAGCCUGAAGAAAAUCAUCAUAAUCAUGNNNNNNNNNNNNNNNNNNNNNNNNNNNNNNNNNNNNNNNNNNNNNNNNNNNNNNNNNNNNNNNNNNNNNNNNNNNNNNNNNNNNNNNNNNNNNNNNNNNNNNNNNNNNNNNNNNNNNNNNNNNNNNNNNNNNNNNNNNNNNNNNNNNNNNNNNNNNNNNNNNNNNNNNNNNNNNNNNNNNNNNNNNNNNNNNNNNNNNNNNNNNNNNNNNNNNNNNNNNNNNNNNNNNNNNNNNNNNNNNNNNNNNNNNNNNNNNNNNNNNNNNNNNNNNNNNNNNNNNNNNNNNNNNNNNNNNNNNNNNNNNNNNNNNNNNNNNNNNNNNNNNNNNNNNNNNNNNNNNNNNNNNNNNNNNNNNNNNNNNNNNNNNNNNNNNNNNNNNNNNNNNNNNNNNNNNNNNNNNNNNNNNNNNNNNNNNNNNNNNNNNNNNNNNNNNNNNNNNNNNNNNNNNNNNNNNNNNNNNNNNNNNNNNNNNNNNNNNNNNNNNNNNNNNNNNNNNNNNNNNNNNNNNNNNNNNNNNNNNNNNNNNNNNNNNNNNNNNNNNNNNNNNNNNNNNNNNNNNNNNNNNNNNNNNNNNNNNNNNNNNNNNNNNNNNNNNNNNNNNNNNNNNNNNNNNNNNNNNNNNNNNNNNNNNNNNNNNNNNNNNNNNNNNNNNNNNNNNNNNNAAAAACCCCACAUACAUUGAAUGAUGAACUUUAGAUCGAUACUCAUUUUUGAGAUGUUAAUCGUGCCUUUGAAUGAUGGUUCUUGGAGUUCUUGAACUAGGAACUUGGAAUCUUGAAUAAAUUUACAGAAUUAAUGGUGAACUUUAGAGGUUCUUGAAGUUGGAUGUAGGAGCUUAGGAUUUUCUUUUUGAGAGAAUUUGAUGAAAUAUAACAUAUAAUGCUUCUAAUAGGCUUUAAUAUAGGAUUUGGAUGGAUUUUGGGUGAGGGGGAAUGACCAAAACGCCCCUAAAAAAUCAAAUAAUUCUCGAAUCUGUCCUUUGGUGGACUGUUUUGAUAGUCUGAAGCAGAUCAACCAUAACAUUUUACUCCGAUAUCCAAAUUGGAUAAAACCAAUUUCAUUAGAAAGAGAACUCUCAUAUCUUUUCGUUGAUAUAUAGUAUCUCCCCCAGAUCAUUGUUUACGAGUUAUGAUCGUUUGAAGUUGACCCAAAAAUUCACUUUUGAUAGGCUGAAGAAGAUCGACCAUAACUUUUUGCUCCGAUAGAUAAAUUGGAUGAAACCAAUUUCAAUGGAAAGAGAACUCACAGAACUUUCCGUUGAUAUAUAGUAGAUCACCCAGAUCAUUGUGUACGAGGAGUUAUGAUCGUUUAAAGUUGGAGCAAAAAUACGCCAGGCCUCAGUACUUUUUCCUGCACGUUUUAUUGUUUACUACUAUUCACGGUUCGAUCAGAAUGUUCAUAACUCGUCGCUCGGGUGUCCGUUUUGGAUGAUCCAUAUAUCGUUGGAAAGCUUAUUCGAUACUCUACGUAAUGGUAGGUCGUAAUCUAAGAAAUUCCAUACGAAAAAUUUAUAAUUCAUUCUAGAAGAUAGAACCCAACACGUUUACGCAUAAAAUUUCAAUAAAAAAUUUCCCGGGGUAUUACAAAAUCUAUGGUGUUCCUCUCGGUCUCACCGCUCAACACCUGAUCACAAAGGAAGCAAAGCUUACUAUCCUCAAACUAAUGAUCUUGAAUCUACUCAAAUAGUGAGGACCUUGCCUCUACACUAGCCAAAAUCCUCCUAGGAUCUAAAAUAUCAAAACGAACCAUUAAGUUGUAUAAGGACUAAAUAUCACAUGCCAAAAGCUUCUAAGAAACUAAAAUACAAGCCAAGCUACCCAUACUUACUGCCUUCUGACUUAAGGCAUCUACUAUCAUAUUUGCUUUGCUCGGAUGAUACAAGAUGGAAAUAUUAUAAUCCUUACGCAACUCCAUCUAUCUAUGUUGUCUAGCAUUAAGCUCCUUCUGAGUCAUAAGAUGCUAAAGACUUUGAUGAUCGAUGAAAAUCUCACAAUGCACACCAUAAAGAGAAUGCCUCCAAAUCUUAAGCACAAAAACUACCACCGCCAAAUCCAAAUCAUGAUUGGGGUAGUUUCGUUUGUGCACCUUAAGCUAAUAGAAGCAUAAGCAAUAGCACGACCCUGUUGCAUUAUUACACCACUCAAAACAACACCAAAAGCAUCACAGAAUAUAGUGAACCCCUUGCCCUCAAUAGGAAGAGCUAAAAUAUGAGCCAAAGUAAGAAAAUCCUUGAGCUUUCCAAAUCCCAUCUCACACUGCUCACACCAUAAAAAGGAACCUUCUUCAGAAUCAAUCUGGUCAUAGGGGUUGAAAUAGUAGCAAAACCCUUGAUGAACCAUCUAUAAUAAUCGACCAAACCAAUAAGUUACAAACCUCAGUUAGAGAUGUAGGUCUAGUCCAAUAACAAAUUGUUCAAUCUUAUCUGGGUCUACCAUAAUACCAACCUUAAACACCAUAUAUCCAAGAAAUGUCACCAACUCAAGCCAAAUUCACACUCAGAGAACUUGGAAAAAAGCACAUGAUCCCUUAAAGUCUUGAGCACAAUCCUCGAAUAUUGCACAUGCUCCUCUUUACUUCUCGAAUAUACAAGGAUACAUCAAUGCACACAAUCAUGAAGGAAUCCAAAUAAUGCCUGAAUACUCAAUUCAUCAAAUCCAUGAAUACGGUUGGGGAAUUAGUUAACCCAAAUAACAUUACUAAGAACUCAUAAUGACAAUAAAGGUCCUAAAGGCUGUCUUUGGGAUAUCCUCAGGAUGAAUCCUCAACUGUUGGUUGCCAGAUCUCAAAUUAAUUUUAGAAAACACUGUCUCAUCUUGAAACUUGUCAAAAAAUCACCAAUAUGAGGCAUAGGAUUAUAGUUCUUUACCAUCACCGUGUUAAGUUGCCUAAAAUUGAUACACAUACGCAUGGGACCAUCUUUCUUCUUCACAAACAAUACAGGAGCUCCCUAAGGGGAUGCACUUAGUUGAAUAAAACCCUUGACAAGAAGAUCCUAAAGUUGAAAAUUUAGCUUCUUAAGCUUUGCAAGAGCCAUACAGUAAGGUGCCAUAGAAAUAGGUUGAUUGCCAGGCUCGCUAUCAAUAGCAAACUAAAUCUCACGGAUAGGGGGAAUACCAGGUAGCUCUAUAGGGAACACAUCAGGAAACUCAAAAACUACCGGAACAGAGUCAAGCAAUGGACUCUCCACACUAGUAUCAAAAAUAUAAGUAAGGUAAGACUUGAAACCCUUGUAAUAAAGCCUCCUAGCACUAACAUAAGAAAUAAUCCCCAUUGGCUCACGGCUAACAACUCUCUGCCACACAACUAGGGGAAUACUGGUUAUGGAUAAGGUAACAGUCUUGGAAAAAAUAAUUUAUGACCAUAUGAUAGUGGGAACACCGGUCCAUUCCUAGAAUCAUAUGAAAAUCAACCAUAUCCAAAAUAAUAAGAUUAACAUAAGUAUCAACAUCACUAACAAUCACAACACAUGAUUUGAAAACUUAAUCCACUACUAAAGAAUCACCCACGGGAGUAGAUAAGCACAAUGGCACAGAUAAUAAAUCACAAGGAAACUCCAAUCGUCGUGCAUAAUAAGUAGAUUUAUAAAAAUAAAUGGAUCCCAGAUUAAACAAAGCAAGGAAUGAUUAGCGUCUCACCAAAAUCAUAUCUAUAACUACAACAUCUAAAGUAUCAGCCUCAGGUCUAGAAGGUACUACAUAUAACUAACCAUGCCUCCCACCUGGCUAGGCACCUGACCAACUUCCUAUCCUACCUACCUAAGAACCUUCUCGAGUACCCUACAAACUAUCUUUGCGACCAUGAGUGCCACCUCUUGCUGAAGGAUGAACUAAUCUAAUAGGGAAAGCACCAUGAUCUGAAAUAACAAUUGCCCCAUGACUAGGGUGAUUCCAUGAAUAGUGACAAGAAGCUCCAAAAGUAUAACUUGAGACUUAAGCUAAAACAAAACCAACAGAUCUUGCUGACCCAAAAUAACUACCAAGUCUAGAAUAACUAAAUGAUGAACCUCUCAAAUUUUGACCACUAUCCUUACCAGGCGAUCACUAGCACUAGACUGACCUCCGUUAGUAAUCUAAAGUGUUGCUUGAACAGGUCGACUAGGCUGACUAUGAGAGUGAUAGGAUGGCUGUAGUGGAUACCUACUAUGAGAAAUUGCUAUCUCUGGGUUAUAAACUAUGAUAGCUCCCACUGAAUCUGCAUUAAAACCUAGGCCUCUUUUCAUGGCCCUCACGACCCUCACAAUGCAUCUCCACUAUCACCUGAGCAUGAUCCAACACCUCAGCAAAAGAUCUACCCUUAACAACUAAACUCUGAGAAUGCAUACGAAUAGAAAGUAUCAACCCUCUAAUAAUGCACCAAACUCUCUCAUACUCAGUAUCUAGAAUAGAAUUCGUAUGCCUGGCCAACUCAAGAAAUAAGCCUCAUACUAUGAAACUAUCAUAGAACCCUACUCCAAUCUAGAAAAGUGAUCCCUCAAAUAAUCUCUAAGGCUAUAAGGUAUCUACUUCUGUAAUAACAUCUCAGAGAACUGAGUCCAAGACAAAGAAAAUGAUCCAGCUGGUUUAGCAUCCAUAUAAGCUCUCCACCAAUGUCAAGCAACCAAAUCCAACUAAAACGUGGGGUAAUACAUACCAUGAGUCUUAACAAGGCCUAAAUUAUGGAGCCUAUCCUCACAAGCAAUCAGAAACUCAUUUGCAUCCUCACCUGGAGCUUCAGAAAACCUUGAUGGAGCUAAUCUCAAGAAUCUAUCCAACAUCUUCUGCUCCUCAAAGGACACAAAUGGUUGAGCAACCACAGGCUAAGCAACUAUCGAUUGAGAAACUAAUAAUAUGGGAAGAAUCUUAACUCGGGGAGCCAUAGCUACUCGUUAUGUCCCCAUCUUAGUAUCACUCUGUUCUAUAGACUGUGUACCAUCAGACACACCAUUAACUAAACCCAAAAUUUAAACCAAUGAAUCUUUGAGCACUGAAGAAAAAAUAAGCCCUGGUGGAACCUAGGCUAGUUCCUAGAUCAUCAUUGGCUAAGGUGAAAGAAUCACUUGCUCAGGAGUGGGAAUAGAACCUGGGGAAGGUAGGUCAUUCACGAACAACAGUAGGAUCCCUAGGCUCGGUCUUAAGACCCUCAUCUCAUGUAGCGAUAGCAUGUGUCCUGGCCAUCUACGAAAAGUAAAGUCAAGGGAAUGUUCUAUAACAAACUCAAACUCAUAGAACGAUAUGAAUGAAAGAGGUGAUGAACUCCUAAAAAAGACCUAUACCUCUCAAAGAUAGGAAAUGGAUGUCAUCGUUCUGAUCUGUAGGACUCUACUUGACACUUGCACUUGUACCAAUAAUACCAUUGAAACCUACUGAUACAAAUUUGUCACGACUCAAUUUACGAAUCAUGAUGGCACCAACUAAAUCCUGUCAGUAGGUAAGCCAAAUAAUAACCUGAACCUAAUGCAAUGAGUUAGUUCGAUAGGAAAUGCCUAUUAUAGGAAAAACUUAAGAACACAAUUUAUAUAUAAGCAAAGUGUUUAAAUAGAUAAAAUAAUCAAUACAAGAUACCAUUCAUGACCUGGUAGAGCCAGUACAAGAGCAUCUAAUGGAAAUAAGACAACUUUUCAAAUGUUUUAGAAUAGUUAACAACUUCUAUCUCAAAAUAAAAGAAUAAAUAUAAAGAUAGAGAAAAAUGGGCAACUCAAACUCCAUGAGCUCACCCUAUCUCUGGAAAUCAAUCACUGUAUGAAAGUCGAUCAAUGUCGGCAACUAGUACUCGGAUCUGCAAGAAAAAGGUACAGAAGUAAAGUAGGAGUACCAAAAGAAUGGGUACUCAAUAGGCAUUAUCAGCUGGCUGAGAAAAAUCAUGAUAUAAGUAUGAUAAAAUGCAAGAUAACAUAGCUAAGUCAAGGUAUAGAAACAAACCUAAAUCAUCUCUAACAUUGUUGUACUUAAUAAGUAAUUAAACCGAAAAUAUGAUAUAACAUAAGUCAUCAACACAAAUAUGAUAUAACAUAAGGCAUCAACACAUGCCAAUAUCGUCGUACAUAAUAGUAAAUAAUAUGGAAUAGUAACUUAUCAUAAAGCACCAAUAUGAACAAAAAUAACUACAAAUUUUCUCCCAUACGCCAGUUGAUGCAGAAAAGUAAAUAACUCAUCACAAUCUCCUAGACGCUUGGAGAGUACACUCAAGUAUAGAAUAGAGCAAUCACCCAUUCAUUACAACUAACCUUCAUCAUAAUUUAACCAUCACUCUACCAUUAUCAUCAAUAUACCAUUUACCAACAUUAUCAAAAUUUACCAAUAUUACAUAAAAUAACCAUUAUUUAGCAACCUUAUUACAAUUACUUACUAGACACCAUUUAUUAGCUAACCAUCUCUUAUUAACUCAUUCACUUGAUUACUAGGCAUCAUUUAUCCUCUAGUCAUCAUUUAAUAACUAUUCACCAUAUAUCCACUAAUUACAUUUAUCACCUAACAUCAUUUAUUAACUAGUCAUCAUUUACCAACUAAUUCACGUUGUUCAACUAGUCAUUAUUAGUCACAUUAGCAAUACUCGCCACUAAUCCUCAUUUAGCAGUAAUCAUCAACUAUACCACUUUAUAAACAUUUAUCACUUUCAGACUAUAACCAGUAUCCCUAAUAUCAAUGUCAUAUCCAAACUACAUAUAAGCAUAUACAUGUGUAUAAAAACCAUACAUAUGGCAUAUCCAGACUUGAAUUGGUAGAUUUACACAUAGGUACAUCAAUAUAAUCAUCCUCCGACCUUACCGAGCAUCAAUAUAUUAUCAUAAUUAUCCUUUGGCCUUUCUACGUAUUAAUAUCAUCAUAAUAUCAUUUGGCCUUUUCGGGUAUUAAUAUAUAUCAUCAUAAUAUCCUCCGGCCUUCCCAGCUAUCCAUAUAUCAUCAUAAUUAUCCUCAGACCUUGUUGGGUAUCAAUAUCACCAAAAUAUCCUCCGACCUUGACGGGUAUCAAUAUAUGCCAUCAUAAUGUCCUCCGGCCAUGCCGUGUACCAAUACAUUAACAUAAUCAUCCUCCAUCCUUACCAGGUACCAAUAUCAUCAUUAUAUCCUCCGACAUUGUCGAGUAUCAAUAUAUCAUCAUGAUCAUCCUCCGACUUUGUCGGAUAUCAAUAUAUAUCAUCAUAAUGUUUCAUAAUUUAACCGGGUGUAUAAUCAAUGCCAUAAGUAUCAAUAUAGUUAAGCAUCAAUAUUUCUAGAAUAAUUAAUAGCAUAGUUUCACAUAUAAUCAAUAAUCAUAUCUUCUAGCACAAGUAAUAACACAAUUGGUAAUAACAUCAAUAAGGAUGGUUUUAAGAUGAUUAUUAGUAUAAUUGUUUAGAAUGAUCAUAAUCAUAAGCAAUAUCAUGAGCAAUGACUUAUCAAUUGUAUAUUCAAUAACUUAGCAUUAGCAUAAAAGGUAGCUUAUCAAUAGCUUGAGCAAUAGCUAAUUCACGAAAUAAUCUAGAGCUUAUUCAUAGCAUAGUCAAUAAUCUAAAAUAUGGCUUAGACAACAUCAUAGUCAAGGGUUUAUUCAAUGGUACAUUCACCGGUCUAAUCAAUACCUAAAAUAAUAGCAUAAUCACGUCACGACCCAAUUUCUCAAGUAAUCAUAACGCCUACUAUAACCCGCCAGUAGGCAAACCAAACCUGUAGUCUGGAACGGCCAGUGACGGACUACCCAAAGAGAAUAAGGAAGGAAUAGGAAUAGAUGUAAUAAAAGAUCAAUACAUAAUAUAAUCCCAAAACAUAGUGGUAUCAGUAUAAGAGCUUCUACAUAACAAGAAUCCAAAGUGAAAUACAAAUGAAUAUACUAAUCUAACUUAUCUUUGAAUACAACAUAGAGACUAGUCUAGUACAUAAGAGGGAGGUCAGUAAUACUCCGAAUGUUAGGAGCUCACUCUAAGUCUUUAAACUAUGGUUUCUCCAUAUGAUUUAUAUACCAAAGGCGAUAAUGUGCACUCUGAUCUACAGACUACAGAAGUGUAGUAUGAGUACCAAACAUGUGGUACUCAGUUGGCAACUGUCGAUUAAGCUCUAAAGAUAAAGUAGAUAUAUAAAACAUAUAAAUAGAAUGAAACACUACACCCAAAUAUCCAUCAACCAUAUAAGACUGUCAAUUAGAUAAUACGGAUGAACUAACCUAGUCAUGCCCAAGAGACUAAUAUAUUAACGCUUAGGAAGUAGUAAGAAUGCACUAUCUCAUUCCAGCCAUGAUUAGGAAUCUCAACACUAUAUCGUAUAUCACUGGCAUAUACAAGUAAGAAUGGAAAUAAGAUACAUAUAAAGUAUACAAGGGCAAGGAAUGAUUAUUAAAUUUGAGUAAAUAAAGGAAAUGAGGUAUAUAUAGUAAUAUCAUUGCUACAUAUAGCUAAGUAUCAUAUAUAUGUAUAUAUAACAAAGGUAUACUCGUAAUACAACCUAAAUCAUUAGAUUAGCUACUUAAGACCUCAUCAUCAUAGCAAGAGCUAGUGCUAGAAUGCUCAGGGUUCCAAUCCAUAUAUAUCAGGUCAUCAGAUAAUCAUGCAUAGUAAAAUAAUCAUAAGAUAGAAGAGGUCAAAAUCACACCUCAAAUCUCAAUACUGAAUCAAUGAUCAACCUAUCAUAAGCUAUCCAUGACAAAGAUCAUAACAGUGAUAAUAACAAUAUCUAUAACAACGCGAGUAAUCGACUACUCUAAAUACCUAGCCGAGCCUAUCACGUGCCCCCACCACUUCAGUCUCAAAAGGUUCAAUCAACAAAUAUAACACCACAAAUUACAGUCAUCACCCAUACCUAUGCAACCUCCCCAUAUGAGCUGAUAGAUAAAAUUGUAUACUGGUGAUAGACGAUGCACAUGCAAGGAUAAAUGCAACCAAAUCUACAAUACCAUAAUCGGUGAGUAUAUCAAUGUCAUAACAUCAUCAUCAUAGUCGUCCUCCGGCCAUGUUGGGUAUAUAAUUGCCAUACAUAGGGCUAGCCAAACUCAAACCGAUAAAUGUAUACAUAGGCACAUCAAUAUAAUCAUUCUCUGGCUUUGUUGGGUAUCCAUGCAUCAUCAUAACUAUCCUCUAGCCUUGCCAGGUCUCAUCACAUUAUCAUAAUAACCUUCGACCUUGUUGGGUAUCAUUAUAUCAUCAUAAUAUCAAAAUCAAUGUCAAUAAAAUAGAGCAAGCCCCACGAGGGCUAAAGUAAAGAGCAAGCCCCACGAGGGCUAAAGAAAAGAGCAAGCGCCAUUAGGGCUAAAGUAAAUAAAAAUAAAAAGAUAAAAGAGGUAGAGUAUAUUUCUAUAAUUUAUCGUUCGUUAUCAAUGUCACAUUAUCAAUAAGCAUAUGUACAUAGCAUGAAUAUUACAACUAUCAUAAAGUUUACCUAGAAAUUAUAUUAUCAGUACAAUAUCUUUCUCCGUCUCAUACCAGAGAUAUGUAUAUUUAGAUAUAUGAUAUGUGCACAGACUUAAGCAAUAGCUAAAAGGGUGUAAAUCUAUAAGCUUGUUUUCUCAAAGUGAACUUCAGGACUAAAUCAUAAUAAAAGUGUAGAAAUGGUCAGAAACUCUCACAACCAGAUUAAUUAGUAGGAUUAAAUCAUAGAUUGAAAGUUGUCUCAAUCACAUCUUUUAAAACAUCAUUAAUCUCUUUUACUUAUAUGUUAUUCAUCAAGACAGACAUUUAUUAUUAUGAAAAAAUCUAUUUUUAAGGUAGAAAGUGGGUUUCAACCCUUAAUUAGUGACAAUAGUACUAAUAUUAUAAGCUAAUCGAAAUUAUAUCAAUCAUCAAUGCAAUGAUCAUGAAUGUACCAAAUCUAUGUAUGCCAUCACCAGUAUUCAUACAAUGGAACCAUAAGCAUUGAUAUAUCAAAAAGCAACAAUCAUGUCCUUUACAAGAAUAAACUCUUCCCGAAUGGUCAACUCAUAUCAUAACACGGCCCUGGGCUUAAUAAUGUGUCUGGAAUAAUUAUAGCAUCCAAAACAUGAUCUUAGGCCAGUGUACUUAUUCGAAACUCAUAUCAAUAAAAUAUUAGUAAGUCAUCCCAUAUCCAUAAGGAAAAACACAACUAUAAGACAUAAUAUAUCUUAUAAUCCAUAAUUAUAUUUGAGAUCAUCUCACACUAGGAGGAAUAAUAUAUAAUAAGAAUCUCAUACCUAGGAGGUAUAAUAUAUCAAGUAGUAUCUGACAUCUAGGAGGCAUACUAUAUCAAGAAGUAUCUCAUAUCUAGGAAGCAUACUAUAUCAAGAAGUAUCUCACAUCUAGGAGGCAUACUAUAUCAAGAAGUAUCUCACAUCUAGAGGCAUACUAUAAUAAAAAUCUCACCUCUAGGAGACAUACUAUCAAUAAGCAUUUCACAUCUAGGAGGCAUCUUAAAUAUAUAAGUCAUAUGCCAUGACUGUGAGAAAUAUCACCUCUAUAAUCCAAAUGUCACAUCUAUGAGGAAAAUAUCAUAUCUAUAGGCCUAAUAUCAUUCUAAGAGGCAUAAUAUCUCUAAAAGCCCAAUGCCACAACUAAGAGAAAAUAAUAUCUCUAAAGGCCCAAUAUCACAACUAAGAGGAAAUAAUAUCUCUAAUGGCCCAAUAUCACAACUAAGAGGAAAUAACAUCUAUAAAGCCCCAAUAUCAUAUCAAUAAUGAAUAUCAUGGCCAUAAGCCAUUAAUUAUUGGUCGGAGAAAAAUACAUCAUGACUCACCAAGCCACAAAGUAACCUUAUGCUCUCCUUUGUCUCAUUGUUUAUCUCCUAAUCAUUCGAUUCCGCCCCUACCUAAGGCUAGCUCCUACUCCUCCUCCUUCUCCUGACGGAUAGGAUCCUUUAUACUAAUUGUAUACUAGUCUCAACUAUGACUAACAUCCUCCAAUAAGUCUACAUAGGCUAACACAAGUCUUGGCCUAAGGUGGGGCAGAAGAACCCACUUCUAAUCCUCAAUUUCCAUAUUUAGGCAAUCUAUACUCCAAACUAGGCUAAGGUAUCUAGUUCAACUUCUAGAUGUCAAGUAAGCCAUAACUAAUCCUAAGAUUUGAACUUCAUCUAGAAACAUAGGCAUUUAAGUCAACUCCACCUAUAUUACGGUUUCAAGAUAACCACGAUAACUUAAAUAGGGUUAAAUAAACAAGCCAAUUCCAAUUGUAAAACCACAUCCCAAACCUAUCAUUAUAUCAUAUCUGUUCUACAAAUUAGUUCAAUCUAGGGAGAAGGCAAUAGGAUUUAAAAAAGGUAUCAAGUAUUUCAACUUAUGGGUCAAAACCCUCAUCUAAUCCCCAAACUUCAAUUUUCAAUACUAAGUCAUUCUACCCAUAUUCAAACUUAACAUUCACAUUUACACGCCAUAUAUAAAACACAUCAUCUUAUGAAAAAGAGUAGACAAAAGCUACCUCAAAGCCAAACCACAAAUCCUUAAAUCACUCAUCAAUCGCUCGUCUUCUUUUCACAAUCCCAAAAAUGUCAUCACAUUAUAAAAAUCAUAACCUACUAAUCAAUACAAAAAUAAUGAUACCUAUAUUGCACCAUUGUGCUUUGGGUCCAAAAAUGACACCAAAUACCUCAAGUGGGUCCCACUUAAAGAAAUCACAUAUUCAAGGUCAACCCUACAUCCAGACAUGAUAAAGGAAUCAUAACCCUCAAGAAAUAGGUGAAAACCAAGUUAAUUUGGGGCUAAAAUCAAGCACUUAAGCUAUUAGGGGUUUUGGGUCAAGAACCAAGAAUUUCAGCAAGAAAGUGAUUAAAUUUUACCUUAAAUCCGAAGAUAUUAGCGAUAAUAGAUGUUGCUCCCAAGUCACCCACAAGUCUUAGUUUUAUCGUACUCAUCAGGGCUUUUGCUUUCAAGAUAGUAGGUGGAAAUGGGCAAUUUCACGACCUUGGGGCCCUAUUUAUAGCCCUAUCAGGUAUCCAGGUAUUGCUAUCACACACCUAAGGGUUGUAAUAAUACACAGGAUGCAGGAGCAGGUAUUGUGAUCGCAAUAUCUCUUGGUACGAUUGCACCAUCCUCCCCACCACCAGAUAUCAGUUGAAACUUGGAAAUUUUCCAAGUUUCUGAUAAGGCCUCCGGAUUCAUUCAAAAUUUGAUUUAUGCAAAUGAGCUAUGUAACCAUCCUAAAUUUGAUAUUCUGGAUACGAUGACAAAGUUGGAUUUCCAUCCAACGUCAUUUAGACCAAAUAUGGGUCCCACACCCAUAUUUUAAUUUUCAAAUUUUCGACCAAUAAGUCAAAAUAAGCUCGGGUGCAUCGAGGCCCAAACCAAGCCUAAAAUUAAUAUUCUAGAGCUGUUGGAGCAAUCGGAAUUUGCAUUUAAGAUUAUUUUGAUGAAGUUUUCACUCGAUGCCUAUGUAGAACUAGCAAAGGCUUUUAAAAUAGAAAAUUGGAUCUAAAAAUAAAUGAACUACCCGGUAACCAAACUGUCAGUCCCAGCAAGUCAUAAAUGAUUAGGCAGCUAUGGAUAAGCUCUAAUUGCAAAGAUAAGCAAAAAUAUAAAAGAUGACCUAGUGGAUCAUUACAAUAUCCACUACUAAAAGGACUUUUGUCCCCAAAAGUCAACGGAUAGAAAAACCUCAAAAGCUCAAAAGAACAAGGUACUAGACCCUCAUGCUCCAAGCAUGAGUUCCCAGAUAACCUCAUGAAGAGAGAAUUCUUUUGAUGGAUUUUGGCACAGGUAUCCCAUUUCCAACUAGCUCUCUUAUUCCACUUCCCAAAUAGUCAAAACUCAAAUUCAAGCACCAGUUGGCCUCCAACUAAACCAAAAAAGGUUGAUGCACGCAAAUCUGAACUACAACACACUGAUAGCAUCUCGACAACCGCACAAAUCAAUCCAAGGCUUAUCCAAGCCAAAAGUAAAUCAUGGCAUGAGUUAUACAACUUACUCCAAAUUCAAACAUAACCUUAUUUUACCAAUCUAUACUUACUAUCUACACCAAACCAAGAAGAAAAUCACCUAGGACCUGUCUGUGCAAUCUCAUCACAGAGAGCUCGAAGAACUGAAGCUAAUCCAUUAAAAGUCUAUACGGCAAAUAUAGGAAGAAGCUUAUAAGGUGUUAUUUGGGCACACAAAUGAAGAUAAUCAAAGGACACAAACUAUGCCAAUGCUAUAACUAGUCUGUAUGGCAACCAAAACUGUAAUCUAAAAGAUCAAGGCCUAACUAAUCAUCAUUGAAUGAUCUGCUCCAGGAUGUCCCAUCAAUCGAGAAUGAAACCACACUAAAUCUAACUCAAGUAUACUAUUCUUAUUGAGUAUAUUAUCCAAAAUUCUCAAAGAAGACUGAAGACUCAAGGUCAAAGUGUAAAGAACCAAUAAGGUUCAUAUGAUAUCAUUUAAGUACUUAUCAAUAAUAAUCCAAUCAAAGUCGAGAAGACCAAAUAGGUAACCACGAAAUAGGCUCAACCAGUCUAUAAAUGAAAUCCAAACAAAGAUAAAUCUAAAAUAAAGGAUGCACUCAAACUUUACAACUCCAAGAUGAAAUUUCAGCAUCAAGACUGAACUACUCAAUUUUAACUAGCAAAACCAAAUUUUAAGACGGGUAGGCCUUAAUACUCCAAAUCCAUCAUAACUUCCAAAUUGCCAUUCCAAGCCGUUAAAUCCAAACCAAGGUCCAAAAAUCACAUCAACUAUACUAUCUGAAUUAGACAUAUCUGUACUAGAUGAUGCUGAGCCAAAAUUGAAACAUAGCUGAAGAAUAAAUCAUAAUAAAGGAUAAAUCACUGGCUGAAAACACAAGAAAUCCAUCCAUAUUCGCUGGACAUGCACUAUCAAAGCAUAUUUAAGAAGUUCCAAGGCUACAAACCAUACCAGUAAUUGCAAAAACUCUACCAACUCAGUAGAAUAAAACUCAAGUCACUAACCAAUCCAGCACUCAAUCUCGGCAAAGAAUUGCCAUAGGCACAUAUCAUCAAGGAGAAACACUCCACCAAACCUCACUAGGCCGAAUGAACUUUCCUGAAUUCACCCAAAUAAGAUAAUCAUCACUCAAUCCAUCCGUGAAUCUCAUCAUCGAAGAAGAAAAAUACCAAGGUCAAAGUCAAGACCACCACUAGAAAAUCAAGAACUUAAGAUGAAGAAUUUCUAAUUUACUAAUUUAAGAAGCGAUCAAAGGAAAGGCCACCUGCCUCUAUCUCCCUAACUCCACAGAAAAUAAGAAUUACAUCAUGAUAAGAACAGAGCAUUGAAUCUCCAUACUAAUAACAAGGGCCAACCAUAACAAGGAGAUGAAUCUAACAAAUCUAAGAGAUAAAAUCAGGACAUCUCAUUAUCAAAAUCAAACCCACUACCGAGCAAUAAAAUGACCACAAACAAAGAAUGGAUCCAAAAUUGGUUAAGCUCAUAAAUAGGCUAAAUAGAAAGGAAUAGCCAAAGCGAAAACCUUCGCAACCCAGGGGGAAAGUCUAAUAAUCUCCAACUCUAGAUCAGACAAUAUAGCUAAAAUGCUAACUUUAGAACCAUAAAGAACCAGAAAAGGUCAACUUACCUUUGAUAUCACAAUUCUAUCCCGAAUCAAUCUAUCAUAGCUAACUAGGAGGAAAAAUAAUCAACAUCACCUAGCUAUAGGAAAUAAAUCAUCAAAUUAGGCUAUAUCCACUCAAGACAACAAAUAAGAAUUGCAAAGAAAUAGAAUUGUAACUAUAUAACACUAGUCUAUACAGCUGCCCCACAUCAAGUAAUAACAUCAGAUAAUAUCAAUAACCUCAAGUAGUGAUAUGACUUGACCCAAACUAGAGCCUUGUCGUAAUGGGCAUCCCAAGUCCAACAAGGACUGGAGACCACCCCCGUUACCUAACCGAACUGACCCAUGCAUGCCUUGAGUUGGAUUAAUUCCAAACGUAUAACAAGAUAGCAUCAUUGCAUAAUCCAAGACUCUAGGAUAUGCCUAUAUCCGUGAACACCCAAACGAGUCCAACCGUAUAAUACCUAAUUGAUAACCAAUACCAGCCAAACCAUAAUCCAAACCAUAACCAUAUGAGUUCCAUAAUAAUUAUAUAUAAUCCCAAAAUAAAAGAGGAUAGAACAAUGAGAAAUUUAGUCCUACGGUAUUAGCCCCAAUACCAAUGCCAAUACCAAGGCUUACACCAAUUCUGAUCCCGCCCAUACCAACCCAUAGUAGUUCCAUAAAGUCCUUUAACAAAAAAAAUACUAAAAUCUUAUUAGGAUAUGCCACCAACUAUAGCCAAACCAAUAUCCACAAAUAAACCAUAUUAUAUAAAAAUGCCCAUAACAUAAAAUGGAGCCUUUCCAAAAGAUUAAAGCUCACCACUUCAAUCCAAAAGCUAAUCCCAAAAUUUGAUCACUAUGUAGGAGGAGUAAAUGGUCAGUUCCUGCAUCGCAUGGGGAUACAGCUGCCCGAAGAUGGGUUAGCGGGUGAACACUAGAUUGAACUCAGGAUAAUGAUAAGAUAAUUCCAACUAAUAAAACCAAGUAAAUAGACCAUAUGCAUACAAACCAUACAUAUACAUAUAUAUAACCAUGCUGGGAAAGGAAAUCGGUUUUAGAAUGCGUUUGAAACUAUUAACCUAGGUAUGUGUAACUUAACCAUCCUUAACCACCCCGCUAUUAUUGUAAAAUUAUAACUUUUUCUAACUUGACCAUUAUUCCAUUAUUAUUAACCAAGGCUAUUUGUAGUGGUAUCGUCAUACCGACCAUAACUUGCAAGUAUUGUCCCUAGCCAAACCUUUUAAAGAUCAAGGGAGUCCCAUGUACCCAUAGAUAACAUUUUUGAGUUAUCUUGGGGGAGUCCAAUGUAACCCACAAGUAUUCCAUCAUUUGUUUAGGGGAAUCCCUUAUACCCCACAAGUUGUUUAAUAACCAUAUUUACUCGGGGGAUUCCCUUGUGCCCAACAAGGAUGUUUAAUUAACCAAACCAUUACCACCUUUUACCAUUCCAAACCUAUUUAAACUAUUUAUAUCAUUUAAGGCUCCCUUACGAAAUUGAAACCAUGCAUAAGUUUCAUUAAAAAUCUAAUAUUAUAAUGAAAGCAUUGUUAUAGGCAUUUUAUCAAACACAUUGGAGGCAUAGUAUUUCCAAAACCAAUUCCAAUUACCAAUAACCAUUCUCGUACAAUCCAAUUAUCCAAACCACCAAUAAAUCAUGUAAAAACAUAAUUAAAUCAUGGGAAAACAAUAACCAUGAAAUUAUAACCAAAAAUUCAUAUUAUAUUUGAAAACCCAAAACCAUAUAAUAAUCAAACCAUGAAAAAAUUGUAUAAAACUAUGCCCUUAGUACUAACAAUGAGGGAAGAGAACAUGCCUUAAACCAAGAAGAUGAUAGACAGAAAUCACCAACAUAAUCCCCAAAUUAAUCCUUAAGAUGAAACCCUAGAUUCCUUUUCCCAAGAGCUUUAGAGAGGAUUAAAGAGUGAUUUCUAAGUGUUAAUAAAUAGAAUAAUAGGGCAAAUAACCUUCCAAGUAAGUUAAAAGUUGUGGAACCUUAUUGGAUUAAGUGGGGAAAUAUCCAGAUUACCCCUACUUAAGCUACAUAAAAUUCCCGUCAUAGGGUACGACUGACCCAUACUACUCGUACCGUCCCUAUAUGAGUGGUACCUACCACUUAUACCCUAGGCCUUCCUUCUAGGACCUAACACUAUCCAAGGUAUGACUCCUAUAAAAAUAAAUAGUACCCUAGUAUACGACUAGUACACAUGACCCGUACCUCUGGCAGAAUAGAAUCUAAAUAGGAUUGAACACUCCACCAUAUGAGUCCAUGGUAUGACUUGUACCCUGGCUUACGGCUCAUGGUGAGCCACUCGUACUCAUAUUCAACCUAAGUCACUAAGUAUAAGAUUAUGUAAAGUAACCAAACAACUCGUAUCCAUCUAUAUGACUCGUACCACCCAAGUCAUAUCCAAACCAGAAACCAAAUCCAACCCACCAACUAAUAUUGGUCAGCAUACGACUAACCCAUACAGCUCUAUCCCAAUGUACGAUUAAUUUUUGCUAGUCGUACCCUAUCUAGAGACUAGAAUCUAGAAAAUUUUCUAAGGCCAGAAACCCAGGGUGUUUCAAUCUCCCCCACUAGGAAAAUUCGUCCUUGUAUGGAGAACAAGGUAAGGUAAACAUAAGAACGAUUCAUUUCCAUUAUCAAAUAUCAAUCCAACCUUUAACCAUGUCAAAACAUAGAGAUGCAAAGAUAUUAAUCUUUCCUUUAACAAAGUUUGAAAACAAAAGUAAAUUGAAGAAAACAUACCUUUUGCAUGAAUCUCAGGAGCAAACAAAUAGAUGCGGAUAUUUGGAAUUCAUGUCCUCCUCCACUUUCUAUGUAGCCUCUAACCCCUUAUGGUUCUGCAAUAGAACCUUAACCGAGGCCAUAUCCUUGGCUCAUAACCAAUGAACCUGCCUAAUCCAAUAUCUCAAGUGGGACCUCUUCAUAAGAUAGAGAAUCCAAGAUACCUAUUCCUUCCAAGGGAACAAUCAAAGAAGGAUUACUAAGGCUUUUUCUCAACAUAGAUACAUGAAAUAUUGAAUGAAUGGAGCUCAAACCUGAAGGAAACUCCUAUUCAUAAGCCAUAUUACCAUUCCUCCGCAAAAUCGUAUAAGAACCAGUAAACUAGGGGCUGAGCUUUCCCUUCUUACCAAACUACAUUACUCUCUUCAUGGGAGAUACUAUUAGAAAUACCCUAUCCACAACCUCAAACUCUAAGUCUCUACACCUUAUAUCCACAUAGGAAUUUUUGCGACUUUGAUCAGCCUUAAGUGAUAUCCUAAACACUAAGAAAUCACGAAAUUUGGGGUUCAACAAACAAUUUCCAGCAAACACAACUAAAGAAAACAACACACAAAGAAAGGGGGAGAAGGUGAAGAUUACAUAAGAUGUAAAGAUAGUAAAGUAACCCUUACUUCCACAAGUGAAUAGCACUAGAAGGUGUAUCAAACCUUCAAACACACAUCACCAUGUAAGUUUAAACGUAUAACAUCUCGUAUUUUGCUUGUACUUGUUCUAAUUUUAUGGAACUUGGUAUAGCCUUUUAAUACAUAUAAUGUUGUUAUGCAAGUAUUAAUGGUAUAGAUGGAAUUAUAGAUGCUGCCCAUACAGUUUAAUGUGAUGCGACUACGUUAAACUUAGAAUCAUAAGCUAUAUUUGAAUCUAAAGUUUAAAGUGACCAAGUGUGUAUAAGUUGAAGGUUAGAUUAAAGGGAUUAGGAGCUGAAAAUGGAGCAAAAUAUUGAGGUGCUAGCUUGACUUAUUUAAGCUAGUAAGUGAGUCACCUACUUAAGUUGUUUGGACCAAAUUAAUGGACCCAUGGAUAUGGAUCAGAUUUGGGUCUAUGCUAAUAUACUCAUUUGGGACAAAUUGAACAAAAGAGAAAGAAAAUGGAUAAGUGGCCCAACACACCAAUCUGCCAAGGCCCAAAUAUAAUUGAGCCCAACAAGAAAUUAAGCAAGUAGGUGCAUCAGCUACUUUGAAGUUUCAGAAGCUUGGACCCUUAAGUAGGUGCAUCACCUACUUGGAUCAAUUUGACCAAUUUUAUGGUCCAAAAUGCAGCUGAGGAGGUGGACAAGAUAGGGCCUUUAAAAGGCCAAGUUGCUGGUCAUUUUACUUCACUUUUAAAUCAUAAAAAAAGGAGUAUAUUUCAGAAAAUCUCUUUCUACUCUCUCUAAAACAACAAGAACAAUAGCCCUAUUUUUCCUUCUAGGGUUCUUGAAGAAACCCUCACCUUUGCAGCCAAAGGUAAGUGAAAAACACUUAAGCUUUUGUUUAUUUAUCUCAUGGAAGAUUAGGAAAACAAGUUAUAAGUGUUUGACUAUAAGUAUAUGGCUGAUUAUAGAACAAGCUGUUUGUUCACGUUUCCUUGUUAUUGAGAAACUUUUUUUUCUUCUUCUUUGGGGCUUAAGUGUGAAGGAAAGUUCAAGCUCUUAAAGAGUUCAAUUAAAAGAAUAAGUUGCUGAAUUGAGGUAAGAUGACUGCUCCAUUUUGUUUUUAUUAUAUAUGAACUUGAGAAGGGAUUAUGGAUGUCUUGUUAUUGAGAACUCAAGAGAUGAUGAGUUCAAUAAUUGAUUGCUACAAUAAAAGGGAUUUGGGACUNNNNNNNNNNNNNNNNNNNNNNNNNNNNNNNNNNNNNNNNNNNNNNNNNNNNNNNNNNNNNNNNNNNNNNNNNNNNNNNNNNNNNNNNNNNNNNNNNNNNNNNNNNNNNNNNNNNNNNNNNNNNNNNNNNNNNNNNNNNNNNNNNNNNNNNNNNNNNNNNNNNNNNNNNNNNNNNNNNNNNNNNNNNNNNNNNNNNNNNNNNNNNNNNNNNNNNNNNNNNNNNNNNNNNNNNNNNNNNNNNNNNNNNNNNNNNNNNNNNNNNNNNNNNNNNNNNNNNNNNNNNNNNNNNNNNNNNNNNNNNNNNNNNNNNNNNNNNNNNNNNNNNNNNNNNNNNNNNNNNNNNNNAGUAUCUCAAAUGUGUUGAUUGGUUACUAAUACUAGUUUACCAUAUAUUCUAUUGUAGAUAAGUAAUCUAAAAGUCGGG